UUUUAUAUCCAAUUCCAAAUGAUUCUUGAGGCUCUCAUUUUGGUAUUCCUUUAUGGUUUCUGGAAAAUCUUAGCCAGAAAUAGUGAAAGCAAAAAAUCAACCAGAGCCCCUGAACCAUCCGGGGCAUGGCCGUUAUUUGGUCACCUCCCUAGUCUGGUUGGCAAAGACCCAGCAUGUAAAACCCUUGGAGCCAUUGCCGAUAAAUAUGGCCCUAUUUACUCACUCAAGUUCGGCAUUCAUCGAACCCUAGUGGUCAGUAGUUGGGAAACAGUGAAGGAUUGCUUAAACACCAAUGACAGAGUUUUGGCUACCAGAGCAGGCAUAGCAGCAGGGAAACAUAUGUUUUAUGACAACGCAGCUUUUGCAUUAGCCCCGUAUGGACAGUAUUGGCGAGAUGUCCGAAAGCUGGCCACUCUUCAGCUUCUAUCAAAUCAGCGGCUUGAAAUGCUCAAGCAUGUCCGUGUGUCAGAAGUAGACACAUUCAUCAAAGGUUUGCACAGUUUUUAUGCAGGAAAUGUGGGCUCCCCUGCGAAGGUGAAUAUAAGCAAAUUGUUGGAAAGCUUGACGUUCAACAUAAACCUUAGAACAAUAGUCGGGAAGCGAUAUUGCAGCAGCACAUAUGACAAGGAGAACAGCGAGCCCUGGCGUUACAAAAAAGCCAUAAAAAAAGCCUUGUAUCUGAGUGGGAUUUUUGUAAUGUCGGAUGCGAUUCCAUUUCUUGAAUGGCUUGAUUACCAGGGGCAUGUAAGUGCCAUGAAGAAGACUGCCAAGGAACUUGAUGCCGUGAUACGAAAUUGGCUGGAAGAACAUCUUAAGAAAAAAAAAGAUGGCGAAUUGGGAAGCGAUCGUGAGAGCGACUUCAUGGACGUGAUGAUCUCUAACCUUGCCGAAGGUCCUGAUAAGAUUUCUGGCUAUUCGCGUGAUGUUGUCAUCAAGGCAACAGCUUUGGUACGUUUCCCAACUGUAAGCCUUUAGUACCUCUUUUUUUUUUGGGCUGGCAGGUGAGGGGGAGCACCGCAGAGACCUUCCAGUCUCCUACCAAUUGCGCUAGCGUUCAGGUGGUAAUUGACUUGCAAAUAUUUUCAUUUUCACACGUUUUGUUGUAAUUUUGCAGAUUCUGACUCUCACAGGAGCAGGAAGCACAGCAACUACAUUAGUUUGGACGCUGUCCCUAUUGCUAAACAACCCGGCCGUGCUAAAGACUGCUCAAGAAGAGCUGGACAAGCAAGUAGGAAGAGAAAGAUGGGUGGAAGAAUCAGAUAUACAGAACCUCAGGUACCUCCAAGCAAUUGUGAAAGAAACCCUGCGCUUAUACCCUCCAGGCCCCUUAACAGGAAUACGUGAGGCCAUGGAAGAUUGUUCUAUUGGUGGCUAUGAUGUUCCUAAGGGCACUCGACUAGUAGUAAACAUAUGGAAGCUGCAUCGAGACCCUCGUGUGUGGAAAAACCCAAACGAGUUUAAACCUGACAGGUUCUUGACAACCCAUGCUGAUCUUGAUUUUAGGGGUCAAAAUAUGGAGUUCAUUCCUUUUAGCUCGGGGAGAAGAUCUUGCCCUGCCAUAAAUCUUGGCUUGAUAGUGGUUCAUCUGACACUUGCUAGGAUCCUUCAGGGUUUUGAUUUAACAACUGUUGCAGGCUUGCCUGUGGACAUGAUUGAAGGCCCAGGCAUUGCCUUGCCGAAGGAGACCCCUCUCGAAGUUGUCAUUAAACCACGCCUAGGAUUGGAGCUCUACUAGGUAUCAAUGCCUUUGUCUUCACCACCACAUAUAUACAUCAAUAAAAAAAAGUUGAUUUAGGCAUGUUAACAAGUCAAGCGUAUGAGCUUGCGUCAGAUUAUAUGCUACUAUGCUAUGUAAUGAAGCGAAUACCAACAAAUGUCUGAUUUGUGGUGUUGGCUAUGAAUAUAAUGCCCUUUUCUUUUGAUUUUUAUUUGGCCUUUCUUACCUUUUUUUUUUUUUUAUUAACCUGAGUGUUCAGGUUAGCUUGCGCGUACCUCGAUUAAUUUUACGAGACGUGAAGUUAAUGACUAUGUAAACCUCCAAUGGAUUUGAGAUUUAUGAGAUUUGAAAUGGUAAUUUCUAGAAAACAUAUUCAAAAUCUAACUAAUUAGGUAAAAGAAGAGCCAAAAGAAAAAUCUUGUGCUUUUAGCUUUUUUUUUUUUUUUUUUUUAUGUCAACUCUAACGGGUAGCUAAACUCACAAAUAAAAUAGUUGUUGAGUACGGUAAAAGCUAUUUCUAUCUUUUUCUGUAGCGAAAGGCAUAUGAAGACGUUGACAACCGUAUUUUUCUCUGUUGACUUAUAUCCGUUGGCCAACGUAUUCAUUUUAUAUCCGUUAGCCAACGUUAAUGUUUUUCAUUUAAAAGCAGAACCAACCGAAGGAAGAAGACAACAUUUAAGCAAAAACAGAAGGAAAAAAAACUUACCUGCAAAUUUCACCCUUCUCUUUGAUUUAGAAAACAAGAAUUAAUUGUUCUCCGGUUAAUUAAUAACAUCGAUUGUGUUAAUUAGCUGAAAUCAAAAGGUAUGUUUGCUUAAAGACUUUUUCUAUUUUUAUUAUUUUUUUGCAUCUCUUGAUUUUUAUUUGCUAUUUGUAAUGAUUUUUAUUUCUUUGUUAUUUUAUGUUUUUGAUCUGGGUUAAGGAAGACAAUUUUUAUUUAUGUUAUUAUCUUUGACAAAAUUGAAAGGAAGUAAUGAUGGUAGCUGAUAUUGAUAAAAAUAGCUGUUGAGUACGGUAAAAGCUAUUUCUAUCUUUUUCUGUAGCGAAAGGCAUAUGAAGACGUUGGCAACCGUAUUUUUCUCUGUUGACUUAUAUCCGUUGGCCAACGUAUUCAUUUUAUAUCCGUUAGCCAACGUUAAUGUUUUUCAUUUAAAAGCAGAACCAACCGAAGGAAGAAGACAACAUUUAAGCAAAAACAGAAGGAAAAAAAACUUACCUGCAAAUUUCACCCUUCUCUCUGAUUUAGAAAACAAGAAUUAAUUGUUCUCCGGUUAAUUAAUAACAUCGAUUGUGUUAAUUAGCUGAAAUCAAAAGGUAUGUUUGCUUAAAGACUUUUUCUAUUUUUAUUAAUUUUUUGCAUCUCUUGAUUUUUAUUUGCUAUUUGUAAUGAUUUUUAUUUCUUUGUUAUUUUAUGUUUUUGAUCUGAGUUAAGGAAGACAAUUUUUAUUUAUGUUGUUAUCUUUGACAAAAUUGAAAGGAAGUAAUGAUGGUAGCUGAUAUUGAUAAAAGCAUGGAGUGACAUAGAUGGUAGCUGAUAUUGAUAAAAGCAUGGAGUGACAUAUCUUAUUUUAUUUUUGAUUGUCUAUUUUAAUUUUAGAUCAAUUAUAUUUUGUCUUGUUAAAAAUACAACUAAACCAAGUGAUUAGAUUAAUUGUAUGAUUAGAUUAAUGUUAGAACAAGUAGAAGGCAAUUCUUAUUAUUAAUUCACAUGUAUGGAAACUACAAAAUUGCUAGACAUUGAAUGUGAGCUUCCUUUACACCUUUUUAUAAGGUUUUAACUUGAGUUUUUUUUUUUUUUAAUGUAGAUGGAUUCAAAUUUUCCAAGCUCUUUUACCAAUUUUCUUAUGAGCGAGUCAGAAGAUAUUCUCCCUCAACCAAGUGAUUCUAAUCAAUUAAUUAAUGACUUAACAUACUCGAAUUUAAAUGUCAAUACAAUAAAAAAAUCACAAAGAAGUUAAAACUUCUCACCAGAAAAAAAUUGUUUACUUGUCUCUGCAUGGUUAAAUACAAGAAAGGAUCAAAUUACAGGAGUUGAACAACAAACAAAACAAUUCUGGGCUCGUGUACAUACUUACUUUGCAGAGAAUGGAGCAAACUUGAAUAAUCGUUCCCAAAUAAGCAUCUCAAGUAGAUGGCAAGAAAUAAAUAGAGAAGUCGGUAAAUUUGUUGGAUUUUUCACUCAAAUUGAAAAUCAUCAGUAAAGUGGAAUGACCAAAGAAUAAAGGGUAAUUUUAAUAUUCAUUUCCAUGUUAAAUUAUUUAACACAUAUUUUAACAUUAUUUAAUUUAUUUAUUUAACACAUAUUUUUACAUUAUUUAAUUAAUUCAUUUUUUUACCAGAUUAAUGAUGCUCGGCAAAUGUAUGCUUCUUGCGUUGGCAAACGAUUUCAACUAGAAUAUUGUUGGGUUAUCUUAAGAAAAGAACCGAAAUGGCAAUUUAAGCGUGCAAGUUAACAUCAAAUGUCAAAUAAGAAACAAAAAAGUCAUGUCAAUGCAAGUCCAGCUUCAUCAACUCCAUCUACCCCUGAUUCUGCUAGUUUAGGAGAAGAUAGUGAACCAUUGAUUUAUCAAGAUUGACCAAUUGGUCAGAAGGCUGCAAAGGAACGACUUAAACAUAGACAAGGAAAAGAUAAAGUUAGGGAGGUAACUGUAACAAAUCUCUUACAACAAUUCAGGGAUACUCUAGUUGAAAUUGAGGAUCAGAAGAAACAAGACAGGAAAAUUCUGUUAGAGCAAUAAGCCAUGAUGAUUCAACAAAGUCAAGAGAAACAAGAAUUGGACAAGAUUGAGAAAGAAGAACAAAUUAUGAAAAUAGAUAUUUCUAAUUUGGAUCCAAUUUCUGCAACGUAUUUUCAAAAUAGAAAGUUAGAAAUUAUGAAAAAGAGGGGUUUAAUUUUUAUUUAACUUUGAUUGAUUUAUUGUAAUGUAAUGUAUUUUUAAUUAAAUAUGUAGAAAAUUAUUGGUUAUUUUAAAUAUAUUGUUAUGAAAUUGAUAUCAAUUCAUAAUACUUUUUUGAAGUUCCUCUAACACUUAACAAUAAUCAGUAGGAUUAAUUAACUUAAAAGAUAACAACCAUAAUGAAAAAAAAACAUAAAAAAACUUGAAAAUUAUUAUAACAUAAGAAGUUCAAAUCUAAAGAUUCUACUUGUUGCCAUAUUGAUCCCACAAAUGUUCGAUCAAAUUUUCUUGUAGUUGAGAGCUAGUUGCUCUAUCCCUAAUUCGAUUAUGAGUUUGAAGAAAAUCAUAUAGUUCUAGUAUUUCACCAUGUGACACUGAUAUAAAGGAAUUGACUUCAUGUUCAUGGUCAAAUCCAAGGUUCAUUGCUCCUUCAUCCUCAAUAAUUAUUAUGCAUUAUUAUGCAAGCUUUCCUAAUAUAUGCAAGUGUUUCUUCAUCCCAGUAUCGAACAGGUACACGUACAAUUGCAAAACGAGAUUGGAGCACCCCAAAUACCCGCUCUACAUCCUUUCUUGCAGACUCUUGCUUGCUUGCAAAAUAUUUUCUCUUUGCUCCUAAUGGUCUUGAGAUUGUCUUAACAAAGGUUGACCAAUUAUGAUAAAUCUCAUCUGCUAAAUAGUAUCCCAUUGUAUAUUCAUGCCCAUUAAUUGUAUAAUUAAGAGGAGCAGUACGACCUUCAGUAAGUGCAGCAAAGAUAGGUGACCGAUCAAGAACAUUAAUAUCAUUUAAUGAUCCAGGCAUUCUAAAAAAGGCAUGCCAUAUCCAAAGAUCUUGUGAAGCCACCGCCUCUAGAAUUAUAGUUGGUUCACGACAAUGACCAGUAUACAUCCCAUGCCAUGCAAUUGAGCAUUUCUCCUAUUUCCAAUGCAUACAAUUAAUGCUCCCUAACAUCCCUGGAAAUCCACGUUGCUCUCCAAUUGAUAAUAAUCGACAAAUAUCGGCCUCAUUUGGUGCCCUUAGAUACCAAUCACCAAAAACUUCUACGAUUGCUUUGACGAAAGCUCUAAGACUUUCUAUUGCAGUGGUUUCUCCAAUUCGAAGAUAUUCAUCAAUAAGAUCUGCAGGAAUACCAUUUGCAAGUAUUAUAUGAGCUGCAGUUACCUUUGAAAGGCAAGAUAAAACAAGAACACCAAGAGCAUAUGUCCUUUGUUUGAAAUAUGGAUUAUGAGCAUCCACUGCAUUUGCGAUCCGAAGAAAAAGACCUAAAUCUUCUUCGAAAUUGACUUUCAGUGAAUUUAGGAUUUUCAGCAAAAUAAUCAUUAUAUAACCUUAACUCACCUUCCUUUUUAUUAUGAUUAACAAUAUUAUGACCAAGAAUAAAGCCACGAUACCCUGUUCUCCGCCCUUGAUUAUUCAAUUCUUCUUCAGCAACCAUAGAGGUAGCAACUUGAAAAGCGAACACAUGAGUGUCAUCACCAAAAUCAAAAGCAUCAUAAAAAUUAAAAUUAGAAUGAUUCAUGAUGAAUUUUAAUGAAAUAUAAAAAAUAUUGGGGAGAAGAAAAUGACAAGAAAAAAUGUUAAGGUAUAUGAGAAUAUUUAUAGAUGGAUUAUUUUUUCUAAUUGUAAAAUCUUAGAAUGUUGGCGGUAAUUUUUUCAAAAUUUAAAAUUUUAAAAUUUAAAAUGUUGGCGGUCAUUUUUUCAAAGCUUGAAUUUUUUAAAAAAAAAAUUGAAAAUCAAAAUUUAAAAUGUUGGCGGUUUUUUCAAAGUUUGAAUUUGAAUUUACUUUUAAAAAAUUAAAUUUUUAACAAUAACAUAUAAAACUUAAAAUUAAAAAUAUUCAUAUAAAUAAAUUUUACAUUUAAUUUUAAAUUAUAUCUUUUAACUUAUAUAUUACUUCAUUAAUUUUAUAUUACUUUUAUAAAUUACUCAUAUUAAUUAUAUAAUUAAUAACAUCAUAAUUAUAUUAUAUAUAAAAUAUCUAAAUUAGUUAUAUAAUUAUAUUAAAAUUAAUUUAACAUGAAAUAUAUUAAAAUAUAAUUAGCUUUUCUAAAUAGCUUUUUACCAUUGGAAUGCACAUAAUAAAAAAAAGCUAUAUUUAUACUAUUUAAAAAAGUAUUUUUUCCAUUUGGCUUUUUAAUAUAGCAUUUCCCAUUGGAGAUGCUCUAAGCAAGCUUUUAGAGCAUUUGUCUUGAUGAACUAAGGCCAUGGAUUGAUUCUGGUGGUCCUGUUGAUAAGUUCGCUUGUGUCACAGUAACAGAUCUUGCCUGGAAUGUUGAUUGCAUUGCUAAGAUCCUUUCAAAGCAUGCAUGGUCGAGAAAUUAGUUUUGAUAGGAUUAGUUAGGGGUGAGCAAAAAAACCGAAAAACCGAUUAAACCGAGAAAACUGGAAAAAAAAUAACCGAAAAAACCGAACCGAAAAAAAAAACCGAUUAGAAUUUUUAAAAAACCGACCGGUUCGGUUCGGUUUCGGUUUGAUAAGCUUGAAACCGAAAAAACCGAACCGAACCGAACCGGUUCAGUUAAAAAAAAAUACUAUAAAAGCCCUUUCUAAAUUUUUAACCCUAAACACCCCCCUCCUUCUGCAUCCAGCAGCCGCCCCCCCCCUCCAAAGCCCCCACAAGCUCCAAAGCCCCCACAAGCCACAACUCUCAAGUCUCAAUCUCCCACACUCUCGUCCAUUACUUUACAAAACUUAAUGCCCAGAUCUAGACUUCUAAUCAUCUAACAAAACUUCAACAAGGCUUCAAACUUCAUCUUCAAAUCUAACAACCCAAGGAUUGGUUUAGUGUAUGCUUCAAAUCUUCAUCUUCAAGGCUUCAGUGUUUGUUUCCUCUCAUCGCGGUUGUGUCCUUUGAAGAAAGAUUAAAGCUUUGUUGGAAUGCACUGAGCGAUGAAAAGCCAUUUUCCUUGCAACUCCUUGCUUUCUUACCAGAACUUUGUAGUCUGCAGUCCCAUGAUAGUUUUCAUGAAGCUUAUGAUGACGGAUUUGUUGUUUGUUGAGUAAUUGGGCUUUCAAAAUUUUGGGGUUUGUAGGGAAGAACAAGAGGGAAGCUGGAGAAGCUAUAAAGAAGAUUGUUAAAAAAACCCGAUCGAUUUGAUAUAGGUUUUUCUGGUUUUUAUGUUAAAAAAACCGAACCGGACCGAACCGAAACCGGUCGGUUUGAACUGAUCCCGGUUCGGUUCCGGUUCAAAAUUUUCAGUUUUUCAAAAUUUUAUUUUGGUUAGUUUUUUAGAUAAAAACCGAACCGAACCGAAAAUGCUCACCCCUAGGAUUAGUCUUCCAUUUGGCACCUGACAUCCAAGAUUUAUUCAAGAUGACAUUAUUCAAGACUUUUGUAAUAUAGUUUUAUUAGUUUGGGUGUAGAUUUAAAUGUGAAUUGUAAAUGAGUAAUGUUAAAUUAAUUGUUUUAAUUUAAAAUUUAAAAUUGUUAAAUGAGAUUUGAUACUACCAGAAAAUCGGCGAAAACCAACGAAAUUACCGAUGGAAUAUUUUGUUCCGUCUCUAAUUAUGUUGGUAUAUACUGACAGAAUAUACCCGUUGGCGAUAUGGUCGGUAAAUACCGAUGGAGUACGUAUGUCAGUAUAUACCAAUCGUAUCACCAACGGAUUAUAUAGUUUUUUUGGAAAGUUGCAACUAUGUGAUCGAUGACGUGGAUUUUUUUCAGAUGAUUUUAUCGACGAAAUGACCAAGGGAUUCAAAUCGGAAUCUCCGUACAGUGACAUGGCACAGUCACCGGUAGACUCACCGACAGGUAUAUCGACAGAAUGUGUCCGCCGGUGAUUCCAUCGGUAACAGUCGAUAUAUACUCACUCUGCCGACACUCUAUUUCUCCUUCUUCUUCCCCUUCUUGUUCCCCAUCCCACCUCUCCCCUCCCGAAUUGCAGCCAACCACCCAUCACAACUCUCCCCCUCUUCUCAACACAAGCACUCAAGUUUCUUAUACUUUUAUACGUGGUCACAACAUCUGUCAUAACCCAAUUUUUGACCAUUUUAUUUUUAUUAUUAUUAUUAUUUUAUUUAUUGAAAAGGAUAAAAAAAUUGAUGAAAAAAAAUAAAAAAACAAUAAUGAUGAUGAAGAAUGAAUUAAAUUUUGGGUUAAGGACAAAAUGAAUGGAAGUUUUGGGGUUUAAUUAAACUUUGGAAUUAAUCUAAUUAAGCUUGAAAUUAAUUUAAUUCAUCAAAUCAAGGAUUUAAUUGGAGAAUUAAUAAGUUGUGAGACUUAAUUAAGCUUGGAUUUAAUUUAAUUAAUCCAAUUAAGGGUUUAAUUGGAGAAUUGAUAAGUUUUGAGACUUAAUUAAGCUUGAAAUUAAUUUAAUUAAUCCAAUUAAGGGUUUAAUUGGAGAAUCGAUAAGUUGUGAGGCUUAAUUGGACUUGGAUUUAAUUAAAUUAAUUAAAGCAGGGACUUAAUUGAAGAAAGAUUAAAAGUUGGGGAUAAAAUUGCAAAAUUAAAAUCCAAGGGCUAAAUUGAAAUUUUCGCGCAAAUGCAGGGGGCCAAUUACAGUUUAAACCAGGGGCUUAAUUACAAAAUGUUUAAACCGUCAAGGGCCAAAAUGAAACUAACCAUUAAAACACGAAAAACGGUGCCGUUUCUCAGCACUGUUCAUCUUCUUCAAACUCUUCAGCUGCCGGCCGCCACCAUUACUGCUGCAAUAACAGUCAAUUGAUUACCUGGUAACGGUGGAAUGCUGUGGCUAUAAAGCCGGAGAAAACAAGGAAUCACUGGACGAAAAAAGGACGGGAAGCCACGAAAAAAAUCACAGAACCGGGGAGGGAGAUUAUACAGAGGAGAGAGCAAAUUUUGGCCAGCCACCGCACCUUCAUCAUCGUCUUCUUCCAGACCACGGUUGCACCCCCUUCCCCCCCGAACCGACAGACGCCAGGGCAACCAAGGGAACACAGAGGAGGGAGAGAAAAAAAAAGCCACGAACAGCAGAAAACUAAGACAGAAGAACGAACCAGAAUAGCAAAUUUUUGCUUCUUCUCAGGGGACAUAGACGAAGAGAAAUAAACAGGAGGAUAGACAGGGAGUAGAUAGAGAGAGAGCAGAGAACAAAAACAGAGGGUACCGAGAGCGGGAGGACCGAAAGCACAAGCUAAGAAAAGGAAGGAGCAAAAAGCCAGCGUUCGCGGCUUUGCUUUGGUCCCCAGAACGAAAACAAAGUGAACAAAAGAAGACAGAAAAAACAAGCAGGAAAGGAAGAACCACCAGAGGGCACCAGCAUCAUCAUCGGCUUCCUCUUCUCCAGCGCCAGCUUCCACAGCCAGAGGAAGAAGUUAAAAAGGAGAGAGGAACGAGCAGCUGACAGAAGGAAUACAUAUACAGAAGGGAAACGAACGAACACAGGGAUAUUGAGGCAAGGAUAGACGAUCAAGAAAGACUGCAAAAUCCGGAUCGCCAUUUCCAGCGCCAGGUAAGUUGCUCUUUCCUUCUGUUUAUUUUAAUUACAUGCUGCUCCUGUAGAAAAACUAAAAAAUGGCCAGCCGGGUCAAGCCUGUGACCCGGCUAGGCCGGCUGGGUCAGAGCUGGGCCCAGCUUAAAAAAAUAAAAAUAGAAAAAACAGAAAAAAUUAAAAAUAGAAAAAAUUAAAAAAUAUGUAUGCAUGAAUAAAAAUAAUAUAAAUUUACUGGUUUAUUAACUGACGCCAGAGUCAGGAAUAAAAAUAUCGGUCUAAAUUUAUAUUAUUUUUAUUCGUUGUAUUUUUAUUUUAUUUAGCUAGAAAAAAAUAAAAUAUGUGCAUGCUUAAAAAUAAUUUUUUUAAUUUAAUUAUUGACGCUAGAGUAGGGAAUUAAAAAAUAUUGAUCUAAUUUUUUUUUUCGUAGCUACGAAUUUUUACCAACGCCAGAGUUGGAAUUAUUCGAGCUCGAAUAUUCACUGGCGUUAGAGUCAGGAAUAUUAUAAACAAAUCAUCAUAGCAUAAGAAAAUAAAUGUUUAGCAAUUUAAGACAAAACCAGCAAUGCAGUCUGCCUCAGGCAGAACGUUUAAGGGGUGAUAAUAUCUUCCCUUUUACGUAACCAAUCCCGAGCCAUAGAAUCUCUGUUGACCAGUUAGGGUUCCUGGUGACCAUAAUACUAGGUGGCGACUCCUCAAACAAGACCUUUUCCCCAAAAGAACAGGAUGCCAGAAAUCUGUUCUUUUUCCAAAAUAAUUUUAGAGAAUUAGUUUUUAGGGUCGCCGCGAUGUCGGGUGCGUUAUUGCGUUGAAAUAUUUAAUAUUAUUUAAUAUUAAGGAUGAUAUUUUGGAACAUGAAAUAUUUAUUCUUAUUUAAUUGUCAGCUCUUGUUAUUGCAUUGUGCGUUCUGUAAGUAUGUAAUUGAAGAUUUUGUGUAGGAGGAUAGACACCCAUACAAACAGAAGCUGCAAAAAUAUUAACAGUUUUAUUGAUGGCUAUACCGACGGCCUGGAACCCUUCAGUAUUAUACCGAGAGUUGAAAAAAAAAUUAUAGUGUUCUUUGUUUUGUGUAUUGUUUGUAUUUAUUUUAUUUAUUUUAUUUUAAUUAUGAUUAUUUUUUUAGUGUUCUUUGUUUUGUGUAUUGUUUGUAAAUAAAAUCUUAAAAUCAACACACUAUUAAGGUAAACAUUUUUUAUUCCUAAAUUUAUUUUGAAUUUAUGUAGUGUUCUUUAGUUUUGUUUAUUGUUUUUUGUGUUUAGGAUGUUUUGUGUAGUGCUCUUUAGUUUUUUCUUUUAAUUUAUUAAUUUUAUGAUAUUAUUGUUUGUAUUGCCAUAAUAAAGAAUGUUAUUGUUCAAUUUAUGUUUAAAAUGUUAAUUGAAAUAUAGAAUUAAAUUUAAUUAGUUUAUCUUAAUUUUAGGAUAUUAUUGUUUGUAUUGCCAUAAUUGUUAUUGCUGAAUUUUUGUUUUAAAUGUUAAUUGAAAUAUAAAAUUAAAUGUAAGUAGUUUAUCUUAAUUUUAGGAUAUUAUUGUUUGUAUUGCCAUAAUAAAGAAUGUUAUUGUUGAAUUUAUGUUUAAAAUAUUAAUUGAAAUAUAGAAUUAAAUUUAAUUAGUUUAUCUUAAUUUUAGGAUAUUAUUGUUUGUUAUGUUUUUUAUUAUUUUGAAUAAUUUUAAUUGUUGUUUAUGAAUUUGUAUUGAUGUUAGUUGAAAAUAUAUAGAUGUUGAAUUUCUAUAGAUGUUAGGUUGUAUAGAGUUGAUUUUGCAAUAUUUGUGUAAUUAUCAAUAUUUGUAGGUUUGAAAACUGUGGCUAGUCUCUAAUAUAGGGGAGGUGCUUUCGAAUUUUUUUAAAUGCUUGAAUUUUUAUAGAUGUUAGGUUGUAUAUAUGAUAUUGCUGGAGUCAACUGGAUUGUGGUUAUUGUAAAGAUUGUAUAUAGCUCAUUUUUCCAAGAGUUGGCGACUCAUAAAUCGCAAGGAGGAGGGACAAAAAAUUUAGAAAUCUAGGGCGCUAAAAAAACCUAUAUAUUUUUUAGUAUUUUAUACUCUCACGACUCGUAAACCGUGGAGAAAAAAAAAGAUUGAAAUGUCCUUGAUUAUAAUCAAGACUUCUUUCAAGGAUGUGUGCCGAUUUAUUACUCCCAAUAAUAUUUUGGAUAUUCGUCUUUUAAGGAUUUUUUUUAUCCAAAUAUUAGCGGUGAAUAAUAGAUGAAUUCCCCCCAAAAUAAGAUUUUUAUAUUUUUUGGAAUAUUGGCCAAUAUCCUUUGGAGUUUUACAAACAUGUUGUAAAAUCCAGAAAUGUAAGAAAAUAAUUUUUUUGUUGUGUUUACGAAAUCCAUGCGAAAACACAUUUUUAAAACUUUCAAUAUUUUUUGUAUAAAAAAAACAUUCAAAACAUGUUAGGGUAUUAACCGUAUGCAACACACAAGGAAACAUUUUUUAUAUAUUUUUUUUAUCAAAACACAAACAUCACAAUUAGACGUAAACACCAAAAUGGAAAGUAGCAAGCCAUCAUUCAUAUUACAAGAACUACAAGAAACUUGAAACAAUUCGUAACAAAAAUCAUUCAAAGCCAAAUCAACUUAAAAUUCUGUACACUAGAAAGGACUAAGCCCGUAAGCAUGAGGGAGCCAAAGUUAUGAAACUGAAAUUUUUAAAUGAAAAUCCUACUGCAUAUGACUCAUGACCUAUUUUCUUUUUAACAAUCCGGGAGAAAAAAUAAACUGCCAUGCUAGUUUCAUACAAAAAAAAACAAGAAGAGCUUGGGACGACAUGCUUUUAUAACACAUAUAUAUCAUGGACUAGAAACCAAAGCAAGACCUGGCCGGCUAUUUCAAUAAAAAAAUGGAAGGACACAAACAGAAUAGGGAGCUGCUGAUGAAGAAAACAACAGCCCCCUUCCCCGAUUCCUUAAUUCUGAAACAGCGAAAGAAAUGAGAUAAAGGAAAGGAUUAAGCCCGUAUGCAUAAGGGAGCCAAAGUUUUGAAACUGAAAUUUUUAAAUCAAAAUCCUACUGCAUGUGACCAUGACUCAUGACCUAUUUUCUUUUUAACAAUCCGGGAGAAAAAACUGCCAUGCUAGUUACAUACAAAAAGGAAGCUUGGGAUGGUAUGCUUUCAUACAAAAAGACAUGGCCGGCUAUUUCAAUAAAAAAAUGGAAGGACACAAACAAAAAAAGGGAGCUGCUGAUGAAGAAAACAACAACCCCCUGCCCCGGUUCCUUAAUUCUGAACCAGCGAAAGAAAGGAGAUAAAAAAAAGAACACCAGAGGCUAGCCAAAUCUUAACAUAGUCACCCAUCCAAAACUCAAAACCACGGCAGGAACAACACAAAGCAAGCGAGCAUUGUACAGUCUAAAAUUGAAAACGAAUGUGCAAAGCAAAGACAAAACAGGUACAAAAGUUUUUAAGGCAGCAAAGGAGGAGAAAAUUAAGGCUUACCUGCAGGUCUCACUGUUUUCUUUUCUAUAGAAGAUGAAAUAAAACCAAGCAAACGUAGCUGUCAAGGUUUAACAGCAAAGCUCCCUCUCCGUCUUGUCUUUUUUUUCUCUCCUCUUUCCUCACAAUAACACCAGAAUGCAAGAAAGAAAGCUCCCUCUAUUUGCUGCGUUUUUUACUCUACGUCUCUUACGUUUUUCUUAUCUGUCUUUGGCUGUUUCUUUCUCUACUCUUUUCUCUCCGUUUUUUCUCUUAUUUUUCUACUCUGUCCCGCUCGUUAGGUCAUUAAAAAGGUUUAUAUAUAGUCUAAAUAUGUCUCUAUUUAGGAAGGAUUCAAUGCAUUAAUCCUAGGACUCAAAUCCUUACUCAUUUGCAGUAAAAAAAUGCAAAAAGAAAACUGCAAUAUUCUGAUUUUGUGUAGGUGCUUUACGUCUGAUUUCUUUCCAGUUUUAGAGGAUGGUGUGACUCUUUUUUUUCCUUCCAUAGGGCCAGCUGCUCCCUUUGAAAUGAGGCAACAAAAACGUGGUUGCAGCUCCAAAAAUCAGGUAUGAUGAUAAAGGAAAAACAACAGGAAUUUGCAGCAAAAAAAGGAAAGAAAUCAGAUGGAGGGUGCAGCUGCAAAGUCUCAUUUUCCUUAUUCGGUGUGAAAAAAAUCUUGUCAUUUAUGAUGAUCCAACCCCCCUCUCCAGCUUUCCAUAUCCUUCAUUUCAAUCUCUCAUUUUAACACUUUUUGAUUCAGUCCUUGGUCUAACUCAAAAACUGACGAAUGCCGAGAAUCCUGGUAUGAUUGAGAGUAUGAACUAAUAACAAAAAUCACAAAAACUAGGCCAAAAAAUAGAUUUUUUUUAGUGCAGACUCGGGUCAAUAUCCUUCUCGCGGUAGAAUUCUCUACCUUCACGUUAGAUAUUCAAACGGGAACAUCUUGAGCCUCUGAUAUCGAAAUCAAGUGAUUCAAAAGCUCAAAUUCAUCUACGCAUCUAGGUCUGCAACUUUGAUGGAGGAGUUGAAGUGAAAUAAAAUCUUUUUACAGAACAGAAACUGACAGUAAUCUAGUUGGUCAAAAAGGAUCUUCGGGUCUAACUCAAAAACUGACGAAUGUCGAGAAUCCUGAUAUGACUGAGAGUAUGAACUAAGAACAAAAAUCACAAAAACUAGGCCAAAAAUAGAGAUUUUAUAGUGCAGACUUGGGUCAAUAUCCUUCUCGCGGCUGAAUUUUCUACCUUUACGUUAGAUAUUCAAACGGAAAUAUCUUGAGCUUCUGAUAUCGAAAUCAAGUGAUUCAAAAGCACAAAAUCAUCUGCGUGUCUAGGACUACAACUUUGAUGAAGGAGUCGAAGUGAGAUAAAAUCAUUUUAGAGAACAGAAUCUAGCAGUAAUCUAGUUGGUAAAAAAAAAGGUUCUUGAUCUGACAAUGCUGAGCAUCCAAAUCUGACUGAGAAUCUGCCUUAAGAACAAUGAUCCCUAGGACUUAAUAAAGGUGUGCGUCAAUUUUUUAACAUGUCAUGAGUGACAAAAUAUAACUAGGAUGGUCAGAUAUCGUACGAAACCGAGUCAGAAUCAGAGCCUAAGUUGGAACAAAAAAAAUUAUGACAAUAGCAAAACCAUUUUUUUUUGUGUGCAAAUUUUAAGGGAUUUAUUCAACCUUAAAGACCAGAUAAAAAAAAAAAAAUUAGCAUUAUGAAGACUCCUGAUCAACCUAAGAACCUGAUGAUUUUGGUAGUAAAGGGAAAGGAUAAAAAAAGCAGAAAACAACUCAAACAAGGUUUAAAAAAAAAACAAAAUAUUUCUUUCUGUGCUUUUGUCAAUCUUCUGGCGAAUAUAAGCUAAACUCCUACACUCUGUUCAAAAGAGGUAUACACCGUCUCUAGCAUGUGGGGUCCAAAAUUGAGUAACAACAGUAAAUAUUUAUCUUAAAUGCAGGCUUAUCACAUAAAUAAAAGGAUUGAUUGAUGAGUUUAAGUAUUGAAAUUGAAAGGACAAAGAGAGGGCUAAACUUAGAAAAGAGAUGUUGGUGUAGUCCAAACUGGAACACUGUUCGGUAAUUGGGUUAUAUCUCGAGUUCUUGAUGUCCAAAUGACCUCAAUGUUUUGGACAUAUUCGGUAAGACAUAGGUCGACAACUUUCAUGUGGAGUCCAAGAUUUAAAAAGGUCGUUUUCAAGUCCAAAUUAUAGCAACAACGGAGAAGUCUGAAUCUAUCCUGCAGCCCAAAUAUUGUUCAGUGUUCAGCUCAUAUCUCGAGUUCUAGAAGUCCAAAUGACCUCAAUUUUUUUUCCUGGAAAGAUAAGACAAUUUCCUAUAACUUUCAUGAGUACAGGUGGUUCCAGUUCUGAUGCUAGCAAUGACGUUUUAUUCAAACAAGAAUAUAAGGAUUUUCACCAAGUCAAGAGUUGGCCAUCCACUCAACAAUUAGUCAUCAAAUCAAUAGUUCCAAAUUUUGGUCUAUAAAAGGAGGUAUUUGCCAUGCAUUUAGGGGCUUGGUUGUUUAGAUCAAGAACUUGCUCAUGCUCUCUCUCUUUAUAUAUAUAUUUUUUGUAAUUCUUAAGUUUUGCUUUCAUUAAUAUCUUGUUUAUGCUUUUCAUUUCCUUUCCUUUACUUAGUUAACUUGUAUGUUGUUUAUGUUCUUAUUUUGUUUAUUUAUGUUUCUCUUCUUCAUUAUGUUUAACUAAGUUUGUUAUGUCAAGGUGAAAAGGUUACACUUAUGGUGUAAGAUAAGAAUGGUGUAAACUUAACAUGGACCUUAAUGUUUAAUAUUAACAUGUCUUAUCUUUUUAUCUUACUAAUUCUUAAUACCUUGCUUGUUAAAUGGUUAAUCUAUAAUUAAAUUUAAUUAAUUUAUCUUAAUUUUAGGAUAUUAUUGUUUGUAUUGCCAUAAUAAAGAAUGUUAUUGUUGAAUUUAUGUUUAAAAUGUUAAUUGAAAUAUAGAAUUAAAUUUAAUUAGUUUAUCUUAAUUUUAGGAUAUUAUUGUUUGUUAUGUUUGUUAUUAUUUUGAAUAAUUUUAAUUGUUGUUUAUGAAUUUGUAUUGAUGUUAGUUGAAAAUAUAUAGAUGUUGAAUUUCUAUAGAUGUUAGGUUGUAUAGAGUUGAUUUUGCAAUAUUUGUAUAAUUAUCAAUAUUUGUAGGUAUGAAAACUGUGGCUAGUCUCUAAUAUAGGGGAGGUGCUGUUGAAUUUUUUUAAAUGAUUGAGUUUCUAUAGAUGUUAGGUUGUAUAUAUGAUGUUGCUGGAGUCAACUGCAUUGUGGUUAUUGUAAAGAUUGCAUGUUUGAAAAUUGUGGGCAGUCUCCAGUAUAGGGUAGGUGCUGCCGAAUUUUUUUUAAAUAAUCAAAGUUAAUUAUGUAUCAAAUGAAAUCUAUAGCACGUCGUCAGCAGGCAGUUGCAGCUAGUUCUUCUAGCAGCAAGGAGGACAUCUCCUUAGGUGCUGAUCAUGGCGAGGCAUCUGUGCCAACUUGUGAUGUUGACUUUUCUAGCGCAGUUUCAUAGCACAGAGAUGGUGUGCCUUCACAGCGGGGUCAAUUCACCUGCAAGUACCAGGCACAAUGGAAGGAUGACCUCUUAAUGUAAGUUUGUUUAGGUUUUAGUUUUUUUAUACUUAUAACAUAAUUUAUGAACAACUAAUUACUAUUUUAUUAAUUUUAUUUAAUUUCAGGUUCACAAACAUUAAGACUGGCAGAACAAUAAUAUUGGUGUUUAAAUCAUCAAUGGAUAUUCCAUUGUUUCAAUGGAGUCAGGUCUCCAGACAUCCUGAGUGAAGACCUCAUAUCGAUGCCUAGUUUUGGCGAUUUCAGGUAGGUGUUAAUUUUUAAUAAAUAAUUUUUUGUAAUUUUAUAUGUUGUACUAUUUUUAUUAUAAAUGAAGUAUUUAUAUACACAAAAUAAAUUUGAGUGGGAUAGCGCGAACAACACUGUUGUUAUGAAGGUAUGGGAGAAUCACGCGGCAACUAAGGAACAUCGAAAAUAAUAUUUAUUUUUUAUUUAUAAUUUUAGGUUCAAAAUUAUAAUUAGUUAGUAUGGAAGUAGGUUGCGUGAUUUUUUGUAUGACAAAAAAAAGCGAAAAGAUAUGCGAGGGACAACGGUCUUGAAGGAUGGAUGAGGUGGCACUUUUGGCGGGAAUUCAAACCGCCAUUCAUCUCGGGAGAUAUAUGGGCGACUUAUAUUAAGCAUGUAACGUCUAAGCGGUUCUCACGGCACUCAUAGUCCGACACCGACAACCAGAACCAACAAAUUCAUGAUUCGAUGACCACGCACACCGGCGGCUCCGUCCCGUUCAGCGCACAUGCGAAUUGGAUGGUAAGAUUAAUUUAAAUGAAAUAUAUCAUUAAUUAAUUUGUUGUUGCUUAUAAAUAUAUUUAACUUGCAACUUUUUUUCCUUAUAAGCUAUGUUUCUUGGACAUGAGCCGAGUCCAAUGGAGCUAUUUAUAGAGAUGCAUGUGCGGAGUCAAGACCACCCAAAGGUGGUGCAGUAGUUUGUGGACAACCAUGCUCAGCACUUCGUGGUAUGUUCGUUCAAUCAUUUUAUUUUAUAAGUUCUUAUUUUCUUGAAUUGAAUAUGAUGAUUUUUUUUAACUUUUCAGGAGACCUAUAAUAGUUGGUUGAGGGAUAGAUAUGGGGACAAUCCUUCGACCCAUUCGGAUUUCGAUCCAGAUUUAUUGAUGGAGAUCGGAUCGUCUGGUGGACCCGAUAAAAAUCGAGUCUAGAAGCUCUCCAACACUAUGGUAGAAAACUUGUGGUCAACCCAUAGUGUCUCAACCAGGAGCUCUCCAUCAUUAUCGAGCACCCAGUUAGAGGAGUUCAUAGCCUUGAAACAACAAUAUGAACGCCUCUCGACAGAUUAUAAUCAACUCUAUCAAAUGGUCAUGAAGAUCAAAUCAAGGAUUGGUGACGAUACAUAUGCAACCCCUUUUUAGCCGUACGAUUCCGGGAACAACCAGCCUCCUCCUCCUCCUCCAACUCCAUCGCUAUUUUAGUUUAAUUUUGUUUUUUAAGACAUUAUUUGUAAUGAAUAUUUGGAUGAAUAUUAUUUAACAUUAUUUUUACAUUUUUAAUGUUUAAUACAAAUUUAUUUGGUUAUUAAGUUUUUUUACUGCUAAUAAAUAAUUUUUUUAAAAAUAUUUUAAAUAAAUACCGAUGGCUUUCCAGACAGAACCAGGCCAUUAGUAUUUUUACCGAGAGUUGCAAAACAAUUACCACCCGUGCCACAAUCACUGACGGAUAUAUUCUGUCGGUAUUUACCAUUGCUAUUAUUGACAUAAUAUAUCCGUCGGUAUUUGUCAGAGAGUUCUGAAAGAUUUACCGCCAUGCCAAAAUCACCGACGGAAUAUCUGUCGGUGAUUACCAUUGAAAAUACAUAUGGAAUUAUUUUGUCUAUAAUAUUCUCGCGAGAAUGUUUUUGGCGCGCUUCGCUGUCUGUAACACCGUCGGUGUUCCAUCGUUGUUUUGUUUUUUUAAUUACCAAUAAAAUUGGUGACGGAAUGAGAAAUUACCGACGAUAAAAAUUCUUAUGGGCGGAUUACGUCGGUGAGGCCGUCGGUAAAAAUAUUAUCAACGGUUCGCGUGCCUCACACCGACGGAAUGAAUCCGUCGGUAAAACUGUUUAAUGGUGUAGUGUGAUGAAUGAUUUUAUAUUAUUCUCCAACAUGUCUUUUAAAAUGAAAGUUUCUUAAGUUUUAAAAUUUAUAUGGGUUUAAUAAUAUUUAUGUAUGUUUAGUUUUUUUUUUAAUUUACAUGGAGAAGAAUGUUGAUUGUGGUGAUAUUAAAACUUUUAUGGCUUAGUCAUUAAAACUCUAACAUCAUAAAAAAAAUCAUCUCAAGUAAAAAUUUAAAUUAAUAAAUGAAGUUUAAUAAAUGAUUUUAUAUAUAUUAUUUUUUUGACAAAUAAACUUUCCAUAUAAUCAUCUUUGAGAUUCGAAUUUUAGAAGUGGUUACUGGAAUAUUAUGUUAUGUAUAUUAAUCUGUAUUUAAAUCAUAGUUUACUUAAGACUUGAUUGGAGAGGAAUUCAAGUGGUGUUUUCGUCCUUUUUUGGUUGAAAGGCAAUGUUUCAGUCAAGUUAAUGCAUGUAUGUUGUAUAAAGCAGCACAGGCUGGCCUGGUGGCAGGAGUGAUUGAGAUUGCGGCUGGAUUGUGUUUUUAAAAUAACUUGAAUUUUAAAUAAAAUUUAAUUUUUUUUUAAAUACAGUUUAAAACACGUUCGCAAGCUAGCUGAAUUUUCAAGAAUACAUGAUUGCUGAUUCAAACACAUGUUUAUCAUUGCGAAUUAAGGGGAAAAAAAACAAAAGAAAGAAGAAGAAAACUAGGCUAUGCUUUGGCAAGUAGUACAGCAAGGAAGGAAACCAUGCCACGCCACUAAAACCAUGCAUGGACCCAACGAUUAUCCCUUCUGCGUGAUACACGAGCAGAUACAGUUAAAAGAAGAGCAAGAAACCAAGAAAAACCCUUCUCUUGAUAUAUUAUGAUGGGAUUUUCAGAUUCUUAUGAGGUCCACUCGAUUUUCGACCGACAAUUAUGAGAACCCUUCUUAGUACAAAGAAGGGGCUGGUAGACCCUACUAUUAAUUGAGCUACAUGCUCAUUGGCUAAGACUAUUUCCUCUUACUUGAAGGAAGGAGACUAGUGAGCGAUAUUCAUUCACAAUUAUUUAUUUUUAAAUCAUUUAAGUAUUUCAACAUUAACUUAAUAUGUCACUUUAAAUUAAACAUGCUUGUCAUUGCCCUAUCUUAUAAUUAUAAGACAUUUCUAAUAAAUAAUAUUUAUAUAGUAUUAUUUAUUAAGGGUAGAACUUUCAGUUUAACCUAUAUAUACUUUAUUUGUAUUUAGGUUAAGUUUAAGCACUUAUAAUAAAUAGAUUAUUGAGAAUUCUAACCUCUUUUCUGUGUUUGUUCUUAGUUAUUUUAACAUGAUAUCAGAGCUAGUUUUAUAAAACGAGGCUUAAUUCUGAACACAACUUCACAGAUCCAACUCUAUGGUGAGUUGGUUGGGGGUUUACAGAAGGUAGCGCGCCCCUGCCAGAGUUCGGGGCAAAGUCUAAGCACUCAUAAAUAUAGGUUAAAUUGAAAGUACUAUUUUACCCUUAAUAAAUUAGACUGCAUAAAUAUUAUCUAAUAUUUCCUCUCAAACUCACGAUGCAGUUAAACCUAAACAUUCAUAAUAAAUAAAUUAUUGAAAAUUCUAACCUCUUUUUUAUUUUAACAAUCUCCUCGUCUUACCGUCGCUUGUUCUUCUUAAUUGUAAUCUUCCAGUAGAAUAGAAUGAGUGUGUAAUUAAACUUUUUGUUAUGUUGUCUCCUACUUUCCUUCUCCUUCCCAGUAUGAGUCUGGUUUGCUCCAGGUUAGUGAUUCUAAAGAUAGCUUCCAAGCAAGAAAGUAGUGUGAAGGAACAAACAAAGAUGACUUACUUCUUACUAGGUUAGCUCUCUUUGCCUACCCUGUAAAUUCAAUUAAAAAGAAUGAACGGGAAUUUUUUUACAUAAUGCUUGUUUGUUUUCUUGUUUUAGUUAUAUAAAAUUAAGCAUAAAAACUUUAUGAUAAAUAAAAUACUAGACUGCUAAAUAUUUUAUAAAUAUACUAAUUUUAAAAAAUAAAAUACAUGAACUAGAAACUCAUAAACAAUCAAAUAGUAAAACUUUAGAAGAUAUAUAAUAACGGAUGAAAUUUGACAAUACUAUUUGUUUUAGUUAUAUAAAACUAAGCAUAAAAAAUUUCAAACAAACAAAAAUUAGAUUGCUUAAUAUUCUAUAAGCGUGAUCUUUUUCAUGCAGGAAGUAUAUUUUAGCCAUCUCCAUCAACCAACAUCCAAUCUAAUUAGCCAUAUCAAUCAAUUGAUUAAAAAUAAUAAACGAUUAUCCCUUCUGCGUGAUACACGAGCAGAAAAAGUCAAAGAAGAGCAAGAAACCAAGAAAAACCCUUCUCUUGAUAUAUUAUGAUGGGAUUUUCAGCUUCUUAUGAGGUCCACUCGAUUUUGGACCGACGAUUAUGAGAACCCUUCUCUUUAUGUUUCUUAUUACAAAGAAGAGGCUGGUAGACCCUACUAUUAAUUGAGCUACAUGCUCAUUGGCUAAGACUACUUCCUCUUACUUGAAGGAAGGGGACUAGUGAACGAUAUUCAUUCACAAUUAUUUAUUUUUAAAUCAUUUAAGUAUUUCAACAUAAACAUGCUUGUCAUUGCCCUAACGGAUGAAAUAGCAAAACAAUAAAACUUUAGAAGAUAUAUAAUAACGGAUGAAAUUUAACAAUAACAUUUUUUUUCCUUGUUUUAGUUAUAUAAAACUAAGCAUAAAAAAUUUCAAAUAAAUAAAAUACUAGAUUGCUAAAUAUUUUAUAAACAUGCUAGUUGAAAAAAAAUAUGAAAUACAUGAAUUAAAAACUCGUAAACAAUAAUACAGUAAUAGUUCAAAAAACAAAUAAAAACAUAUGAAAAAAUAGUAACAAUAUAAAAGAUAAACAAUAAAAAUGAAAUUUGAUAGUAACACUUGUUUUUUUUUAUGUAAUAAAUAUAUUUUAGCCAUCUCCAACAGCCAACAUCCAAUCUAAUUAACCAUAUCAAUCAAUUAAUAAAAAAUAAUAAUAAAAGAAAAGAAAAAAGGUUGGUUUUUAAUUAUUUCAACUUGUAUUUUAUUUUUGUUUUAAUUAUGUUAUAGUUUUAUUUUAAUUAAUUAUCAAUAUAUAAUUAAUUAAAAAAAUUUACAUAUAAUUUUACAAUUCAAGUUUACACUAUAUUUUUCAAAUUUCAUAUUGUUACUAUUUUUCCUUGUUUUAGUUAUAUAAAACUAAGCAUAAACAAUUUCAAAUAAAUAAAAUACUAGAUUGCUUAAUAUUUUAUAAGCAUGCUAGUUGAAAAAAUAUAUGAAAUACAUGAAAUAAAAACUCGUAAACAAUAAUACAGUAAUAGUUCAAAAGCCAAACAAAAACAGAUAAAAAAAUAGUAACAAUAUAAAAGAUAAAAAAUAACAAAUGAAAUUUGAUAGUAACACUCGUUUGUUUUCAAGUAGUAAAUAUAUUUUAGCCAUCUCCAACAACCAACAUCUAAUCUAAUUAACCAUAUCAAUCAAUUAAUAAAAAAUAAUAAUAAAAGAAAAGAAAAAAGGUUGGUUUUUAAUUAUUUCAACUUGUAUCUUAUUUUUGUUUUAAUUAUAUUAUAGUGUUAUUUUAAUUAAUUAUCAAUAUAUAAUUAAUUAAAAAAUUUUACAUAUAGUUUUACAAUUCAAGUUUACACUAUAUUUUUCAUAUCAUGUUAAAAAUGCCAUUAUCGCUUCACUCCUGCUUUAUAUUAUUACUUUUCAUGCCUUGUCUAAUCUAGUUGACUAUAUAUGGAUGAUGGGUCUAUAAAUACCAACCAAACCAUCUGGUGCAUUCAAACCAUCUUCUUUUCCUCCCUGGAUUUCUAUUAUAUCCAAUUCCAAAUGAUUCUUGAUGCUCUCAUUUUGGUAUUCCUUUAUGGUUUCUGGAAAAUCUUAGCCAGAAAUAGUGAAAGCAAAAAAUCAACAAGAGCCCCUGAACCAUAUGGGGCAUGGUCGUUAUUUGGUCACCUCCCUAGUCUAGUUGGCAAAGACCCAGCAUGUAAAACCCUCGGAGCCAUUGCCAAUAAAUAUGACCCUAUUUACUCACUCAAGUUCGGCAUAGUUGAGAAUAAUUGGGAGGCUUAACCUAAUAGGUAACCAACUCUUUCUAUAUAUAUAUGUAGGGCAAUAUACAAUAGUAAUGGUGGAGUUUACCACACAAGAGUAUGUCUACAAUAUUUCCUAUAUAAGUAUAUUCUAUGAUAUGCCCCCUCAAGCUGAGGAUGGAGGAUCAACCCGAAGCUUGAAGCGAAAAGCAGUAAACAAAGAAGUAGGAAGUGGCUUAGUGAAGACAUCGACAAGUUGAUCCUGAGAGGAAAUAAAAUGAAUCUGAAUCUCCUUCUUUGCAACUCUAUCUCGGAUAAAAUGAUAAUCGACCUCAACAUGUUUUGUGCGAGCAUGAAAAACAGGAUUCACAGACAAAUAAGUGGCACCAAGGUUGUCACACUAAAUAAUAGGAGCAGAAGCAGAUGGAAGCUGGAGAUCUGUUAAUAAGUACUGAAGCCAAAUAACCUCAGCAAUGCCAUCAGCUAAGGCUUUGUACUCAGCUUCAGUAGAAGAGCGAGCAACUGUGCGUUGCUUACUAGAUUUCCAUGAAAUCGGCGUCUGACCAAAAAACACAAGAUAACCACCUGUAGAUUUUCUGUCCUCAACACUGCCUGCCCAAUCUGUAUCUGUAAAACCAUGUAAGGCAAAAGAAGAACUGUAAGUAAUAUGUAAGCCAUGUGAUGCUGUACCCCGAAGAUAACGCAAGAUGCGUUUCACGGCAGCCCAAUAAGAAUCUGUAGGAGCAUGCAUAAAUUGACAGACUCUGUUAACAGUAAAGCAAAUAUCUGGGCGCGUAAAAGUGAGAUACUGAAGAGCACCCACAAUUUGAUGAAAGCGGGUAGCAUCUGAAAACAAUGGAUCGGGCAGAAUGGUAGCUUUGGAUGUAGAUAUAGGAGUAUCAACAGGUUUGUAAAUAAACAUACUAGCCUGAGUGAGGAUGUCAAGUAUAUAUUUAUGCUGGCGAAGCAUAAGACCCAUACUAGUAGAUUGAACCUAAAUACCUAAAAAAUAAUGAACAAAACCCAAGUCGCGAAGCUUAAAUUCUAAGCUCAGUAGCUGAAUGAGGCGUUGGAGUAGAAGAGAGUUACUACCCGUAAGUAGAAUAUCAUCAACGUAGAGGCACGAAAACCAAUAGAUAACAGGAAAUCAUUCAGACGAGUGUACCAAGCCCGCAGAGCCUGUUUUAAACCAUAUAGAGAUUUAUGCAAUCGGCACACAUGAGAGGGGAGAGCAGAAUCAACAAAACCUGGAGGUUGUUUCAUAUAUACCUCCUCAUCAAGAACACCAUUGAGGAAAGCAUUAUGGAUGUCAAGCUGAUGAAUUUUCCAACCACACGAAACUGCAAUGGAGAAGACUAAUCUAACGGUCGCAUGUUUGAUGACAGGACUAAAAGUUUCAGAGUAAUCAAUACCUUCUUGCUGAGUGAAACCUCUAGCAACCAGACGCCUUAUACAUCUUGAUGCUUCCAUUAGAUCUGCGUUUAAUCUUGUAUACCCACCGACUACCAACAACAUUCAUGGAGGGGUGAAACAACACUAAGGUCCAAGUUUUGUUUGUGCGUAAGGCCUGAAUUUCCUCACGCAUAGCACUAUGCCAUGCCUUAUAUCUGUUAGCAUCAUUAAAAACAAGUGGCUCAUGAGAGGGAGGAGAAACUACCCUGUUGAAGGAGACAGUAGAGGCUGCGAUAGUGGCUGUGGACAGCGCUGUCUUGGGCUGCCAUGGAUGAAGAAUCAUGGGAUGUUGACGAGCAGCUUGGCAUGGAGAAGUGUGACCUGUACCUGGAAGCUGCUGAAGAGGAUAUGAGGAGAGAUCUACACAGAGCUGCAGACCAGCUAGAGAAGCAGUGGAGGGACUGGUCGGCACUGCAGACACUGGUGAGGCUGCAGCAGAACUGGGAUGAUCUGCUGCAAAAACGGGUUGCUCUGUUGCAGCAGACCUGAGGACAUGCACAUCCAGUGAUGGAGAACCUGUUCCUGCACAAUGAUCAUUGGAAAGACAAGCAUAUGGUGACAGUGUGGCAGUGUUGGAUGGUGAUGAAAGGGUGGCAGAAUCUAUGGGCAAAGAGGUAGUCUGGUGGGGUGCGGCAGAGGGUAGAAUUGGGUUGUGGUUGGGGCCGGUUUGGUAAGUAGUAGGCUGAAAGGAUGGAGGAGGGUUCAAGGAUGGAAGAUAGGUAGGUGGGGUGGGAGGUAUUGGUGAGGAUGUUACCUGUUUAAACUUUGCAAAAGGAAAGACAUUUUCAUGAAAACGAACAUGACGGGAGAUAUAAAUAUGAUCAGACUCUAAGUCAAGACAACGAUAACCAAGAUGGGAUGAGCUAUAACCUAAAAACACACAAGGAGAAGACCAGAAAUCUAAUUUAUGAGCAUGAUAUGGACACAAAAAGGGGAAACAAAGACACCUAAAAGGACGUAGGAAGUUAUAAUCAAGAGUGCGUCGAAACAAACACUCAAACGGAGAUGUAUUUUGGAGAACAAGAGUAGGCAUGCAAUUAAUAAGGUAGACUGAUGAUUCAAAAGCAUAGUUCCAAAAUCACAAUGGGGCACUACACUGGCCUAAAAGGGUUAGGCCAGUUUCGACAAUAUGUCGAUGACAACGUUCAACACUGCCAUUUUGUUCAUGAGUAUGAGGACAAAUUAACCGAUGAUGAAUACCAAUGGUCUGAAAAAAUUUAUUUAAUUUAUGAUAUUCACUGCCCCAAUCAAUUUGAACAGAUUUAAUUUUAAGAGAAAACUGACGCCUAACAAGUGUUUGAAAACGUUGAAAAAUGGAAAAGACAUCAGAUUUCACAACAAGCGGAUAAUACCAUAUAUGUUUGGUAUGCACAUAAAUAAAAAUAACAAAAUAGCGGAAGCCAUCAGAAGAAAACAUAGGGGCAGGACCCCAAACAUCACUAAAAAUUAAUUCAAGUGGGGCAGAAGUUUUGUGACCCGUAGGUCCUAAUGACAAACGGGACGACUUUCCUAAAGGACAAGCUUGACACUGAGUAAGAGAACGUCUAGAAGUACAUAUGAUUUUAUUACCGGAAACUAACAAAUUGAAAAUGCGAAGGGUUGGAUGACCCAAACGACGAUGCCACAUGUCGACAGUCGCAGAGAUGUAAGGAGACCAAAAAGCUUGAGGAACUGACGUGGCAGAAGACUCGGACAUGAAAUAAAGACCAUCAUGACUCUGACCGAAAAGGAGAACUUCCUUGGUGAUGAGAUCCUUCACAUAAAUCAUAGAAGCGUGAAAUUUAAAAUAAACAUGAUUAUCACGAUAAAAUUUUUGAACAGAUAACAAUGGUUUGGUAAUGUGAGGCACAUGGAGAACAUUAGAUAAUGUAAACAUGCAUUUUGGGGAUUGUAAUUUAGUAUGUACAAUAUGGGUUAUGUUAAGGCCCUUACCGUCACCAACAUGCAAAUAAACAUUACCAAGAUAGGGUGCAGAAUCGGUUAGAGAUCUAAGAUCAGGUGUGACGUGUUGAUUUGCGCCGAUGUCAGGGAACCAAGUCGCAACAUAAAUAUUCCCAACAGCAAGAUGAGCAGAGGGCUGCGGAGAGUUGCUAUGAAAUUGGGAACAAUAGGGAGCUGUGUGCCCAGCACCGGAAUUACGCCUGGUCUGCUGCCAGUGGUUUGGACGCCAAUCUGCAGCAGAUUGGCUCCUGUUAUGGGAGUAAAACGGUUGUUAUGGGGACGCUAAUUACCUCUAGAGCGACCCCUGUUACCUCUAGAGCGACAUAGCAUGGUAUGUAGAAAACUGUGGUGUUGGCAGCAGAGGUGGCUGCUGCGGCAGAGAAGAAGAAGACAACAGAGAGGGACCGACAACCAUGGAAUGGAAGGAGUUCUUGUGCAGAAAUUCAUGGGUAAGAAGGUGCCUGUGAAGACCAACAUAGGAUAACGGUUCUGCCUUGGUUAUGAGACUCGUUACCAAGUCUUUGAACUCACCACGAAGGCCACGAAACAUAUAAAGAUUGAAAUCUUCAAGAGACAUGGGGCGACCAGCAAUAGCCAAUUCGUCAAAUAAUGAUUUGGCUUGCUGCAUGUAUAGACUAACCAAUGAGUCACCUUGUCAAAGCUCUUGAAAGGAGCCAUGAAGUUGCAUGAUGCGAGAAUUAGAUGGAGAGGCAAGCGCUUUCUCAAGAGUGCGCCAAACACAAUGCGAAGUAGAACAAUCUACCACGAGAUGCAACACAUCCACGGAGAGAGAGGAGAGUAAAGCACUCAAAAUAAGUUGAUCCUGUUGCUUCCAACGAAGAAAAGAAGGGUUGAUGAUAGAGGAAGAAUGAGCAGAGCUGUCAAAAAUAUGAGAUGGAGGACACGACACUGAGCCGUCAACGAAGUGAAAAACACCUUGACCAAGGAGAUAUGGCUUCAUCUGCAUUCUCCAAUAGAGAUAAUUUGUGUUCAUAAGCUUUAGCGAAACAACUUGGUGAAUGCUCGCUAAAGGAAUAAUAGAUGUAGUGUGGGUUCCCAUGAGAGGUAAAGGAACGACAGGGACUUGGGAGGAAGAAUCAGAGACAAGCUCUGUAAGUGGAGGCUGCUGUGGGGAGGAAAAAGCACCAGCGGCAGCAGCUUGGGGUUGGCUGGCCGGCUGUACUGCGCCACCUAUGGAGAGGGAGAAGUCGGCGGCAGCAGUAGAAUCCAUGGAGAGAAAGUAAAGAGUUCUGACGGCAGAAGGCUCUGAUACCAAGUUGAGAAUAAUUGGGAGGCUUAACCUAAUAGGUAGCCAACCCUUUCUAUAUAUAUAUAUGUAGGGAAAUAUACAAUAGUAAUGGUUGAGUUUACCACACAAGAGUAUGUCUACAAUAUUUCCUAUAUAAGUAUAUUCUAUAAUAGGCAUUCAUCGAACUCUAGUGGUCAGUAGUUGGGAAAUAGUGAAGGAUUGCUUAAACACCAAUGACAGAGUUUUGGCUAAGAGAGCAGGCAUAACAGGAGGGAAACAUAUGUUUUAUGACAACGUAGCUUUUGCAUUAGCCUCAUAUGGACAGUAUUGGCGAGAUGUCCGAAAGCUGGCCACUCUUCAGCUUCUAUCAAAUCAGCGGCUUGAAAUGCUCAAGCAUGUCCGUGUGUCAGAAGUAGACACAUUCAUCAAAGGUUUGCACAGUUUUUAUGUAGGAAAUGUGGACUCCCCUGCGAAGGUGAAUAUAAGCAAAUUGUUGGAAAGCUUGAUGUUCAACAUAAACCUUAGAACAAUAGUCGGGAAGCGAUAUUGCAGCAGCACAUAUGACAAGGAGAACAACGAGCCCUGGCAUUACAAAAAAGCCAUAAAAAGCUGGUAUUUAUGUGAGGUCGUCGGUAUUUAUGUCGGUGAAUCCGUCGAUACCAGCGUUAGUGAAUGUGACAUUUCGUGUAAUUAUUUAUGAACUCUCUGUGAGAUACCGACGGAUGUGAGGCCGUCAAUAUUGUCGUCAGUAAGUUUGCAUGUUACAAGAAAGGUUUUAUUUGUAUUGACUAUUUACCUUCCUGCAAAAACUUAAAUGAUAAACUAUUCAUCACAUAAAACAAUAACAAUAGUGCUUAAAUAGUAAAUAUUGUGUUACAAAAUAUAUCAUCCAUAAUCUAAAUUACAUGAAAAAAAGGGUUUUACAUACGGCAAAGAAUUGUAGUUAGUUAGAAUUUUCUUUUCAAUGUGCAUGACGUCAAGGUUAUGGUGGAUAAGAUUGGUCUUCCAUUAAGGAAACGCCCAAAAGAUACUUCGCUUUACCCAAUUAUGGGUCAAACCAAAACCAGGAAACUUUUGCUUACCUGAUUGAAGGCCAAACACAAUGUCACCGUACUCUGAUACAACAUGAUGCAAUUCUUCACCAGAAAGACGUGGGGAUGCAACAUCUUUUUCAACUCUGCCAACAAAGAAAUCUUUUCUGUUCUUUCUGAACCUGUGAUUAAGUGGCAAGAAGCGACGGUGAUAGUAAAAAAAAGAAGCUUUACCUCUGUUUGCUAGCGUGAAUGCCUUGUUGUUUUCCAUGCAAUAUGGACAUGCGAGUUUCCCAUGCGUGCUCCAACCAGAAGGCAUUCCAUAAGCUGGAAAAUCAUUGAUAGUCCACAUCAAAGCCGCCCUCAUAAGGAAAUUUUGUUUCCUAGAUAUAUCAUAAGUCAGAGCUCCGGAGGACCACAACUGCCAGCUCAUCAAUCAACGGUCGAAGACAAACAUCUAUAUUCCGCCCCGGGCUGCUUGGACCGGGUAUGACAGUAGAUAAAACAUGAACUCCGGCCUCAUACACAUUCCCGGUGGCAAGUUAUAAACUGUGAGUAUGACCGGCCAACAAGAAUAGGGAGCAGCAAAUGACCCAAAUGGGUUGAACCCCAAACGGAACAUUCCUUGAUUCAGAAAAGUCAGGAUGCACACUGUUAAAGCGUUUCCACGCUUCGCCGUCAGAAGGAUGCACCAUCACACCAUCAACGCAUGUGUGUUUGGUGCCAUGUCAUGUGCUCAGCAGUCCUUGGUGACAUGAAUAACCUCUGCAGUCUAGGUGUGAUCGGGAAAUAUCUAAGUUUUUUAUAUGCCACUAGAGUCUUUCCCCUGCCAGUUCUGGGUUUGUAACGGGAAUGCCCGCAUGUCAUGCACUCGGUCAUCUCAGCAUUUUCAAGGUAGUAUAACAUGCAGAAGUUAGGGCACAUGUCAAUUUUCUGGUAUCCUAAACCGAGGGGUUUCAUCAUGGACUUCGCAGCAUAGAAGUUCUCUUUCAGCCUGUUCCCUUCAGGUAAAAUGCUUCUUGCCCAAUCAAUAAUUUUGUCAUACCCGGCCUCACUCAACCCGUGAUCUGACUUGAUGGUGAACACCUGUGCCACGGCCGAUAAUUUACUGUGGUUUGUGCAGCCAUCCCAUAAUGGUUCGUCAGAAUCUUUCAACAAAUCAAAAAACCUAGCUGCCUCUGCAUUAGGUUCUUCUUCUACGAUUGGACAUUGACUGACAUUACCUUGAUUCAUUCUCAUUGCAUCCAUAACCAUAUUUCUGUAAGGAUUAGUGUUGUCAUUUGCUUCAUGCACGUUGCUAGCACUAGAAGUUGACCCAACCACCGUUUCUCCCAUUCUCCUAUUACUAACAAAUACCUCUCCAUGUGCAUACCAACACUCGUAAUCCUCCAAACCCUUUGUGUAGAAGAUGCAUCAUUACAACAUCUGGAUGCAGAUACUUUUUAUUUUGACACUUCCUGCAUGGACACCUAAUACCAUCUCCAGUAAAAUUUCUGGGAAUAGAUGUUGCGAAAUUAGUAAAACCCUGAACCCCGUUACAAUAAUCCAUCCUCAAUCCUUGGGGUGAAUCUAGAUACAUCCAUGAACGAUCAUCCAUGACUCUAUCGAACCUCUAUAAAAUUAUGAUGACAUCAUGUAUUAAUUAACUAAGUUAGGUAAAUAAACUUGCAUAAAUAUUACUUUACCUCGAGAUUAUCCAACAAACCAAUCACAACUUCUCAUAAAUAUUAAAUAUUCAUUAUCAUUUAUCAACGUCCAUACAAAUUAAUAUAUAUAAAUUAACAGAAAUUACCCCUCUGCAAUACCAUCGAUAAAUCUUAAAAAUGACCCUUUAAGCAAGCUAUUAAUUAUUUCAAAACAGAACAUGUAAUUCGGUAAUUCCACAAAGUUUUAACAAUUUACAAACAAAUACAAUCUUACAAAAUCUAAAACAAACCAUAACAAGUAUAAAAUUAUACAUUCAUGUACUACAAGUUUGUUUGAGAAAUAACAAUAAAACAUGUACAUCUACUAACAAAAAUACAUAUACUAAAAAAACUUAAGAAAAAAAGAUAGAAUUACUUACAAAAAUUGAUAAAAUCCAUCGGUAAAUCAGAACACGGAUGCUGUGACCACAAAACUUCAAGAAAUACAACUUGUUGUGCUGAAAUGAGGAAGAAUUUUGUUUGGGUGCGAGGGGGGGGCUGGUUAUUUGUAGAUGGGGAGAGUUAGGAUUAGGAAGAAGAAGAAGGAGAAAUGGGGGAGGAGAGGGUCGGCAGAGAGGCCAUAUAUUAACUUUUUCUGACGGAUUCACUGACGGAAUAAACCCGUCGGCGACUCCGUCGGCUAUUCUGACGGGAAAAUAGACACGUCACCGCAAGGACCUACUUUUCAAAUCCCUCGGUGAUUCCGUUGGUAUUGUUGAUGGUGAACCGGUCACGUCACCCGUACGGAUCUGCUAUUUCAAAUCCCUCGGUGAUUCCUUCGGUAUUUUUUAUGGUGAACCGGUCCCAUCACCCGUACGGGUCACCCGUUUCGAAUCCAUCAGUGAGUCCGUCGAUAUUGUCGAUGGUGAACCGAUCCCGUCACUCGUCGGGUCACCCGUUUUGAAUCCAUCGGUGAUUCUGUCGGAAAACUAACCCACCAAAACCUCCACAUCAACGACCCGCCCUUUUUUUCUUAAUUCUAAACUUUCCAUCCGUAAUUUGGUCGAUAAUUACCGAUGGUUGUAGUCCGUCUGUAAUUACUGACCGAAUUACGGAUGGAAAAAUUUCUUCGGGAAUUUCGACCUCAAAUUACCGACAGAAAUAUUCCGUCGGUGAUUCCGUUGCUAUUAAGCGAAUUUCUGGUAGUGAUCUGAGUGGGAUGUUUGUAAUGUCGGAUGCGAUUCCAUUUCUUGAAUGGCUUGAUUACCAGGGGCAUGAAAGUGCUAUGAAGAAGACUGCCAAGGAACUUGAUGUCGUGAUACGAAAUUGGCUGGAAGAACAUCUUAAGAAAAAAAUAGAUGGCGAAUCGGGAAGCGAUCGUGAGAGCGACUUCAUGGACGUGAUGAUCUCUAACCUUGCUGAAGGUCCUGAUAAGAUUUCUGGCUUUUCGCGUGAUGUUGUCAUCAAGGCAACAGCUUCGGUACGUUUCCUCACUGUAAGCCUUUAGUACCUCUUUUUUUUUGGGCUGGCAGGUGAGGGGGCGCAUCGCAGAGACCUUCCAGUCUCCUACCAAUUGUGCUAGAGUUCAGGUGGUAAUUGACUUGCAAAAAUUUUCAUUUUCACACGUUUUGUUGUAAUUUUGCAGAUUCGGACGCUCACAGGAGCAGUAAGCACAUCAACUACAUUAGUUUGGACGCUGUCCCUAUUGCUAAACAACCCAGCCGUGCUAAAGGCUUCUCAAGAAGAGCUGGACGAGCAAGUAGGAAGAGAAAGAUGGGUGGAAGAAUCAGAUAUACAGAACCUCAGGUACCUCCAAGCAAUUGUGAAAGAAACCCUGCGCUUAUACCCCCAGGCCCCUUAACAGGAAUACGUGAGGCCAUGGAAGAUUGUUCUAUUGGUGGCUAUGAUGUUCCUAAGGGCACUCGACUAGUAGUUAACAUAUGGAAGCUGCAUCGAGACCCUCGUGUGUGGAAAAACCCAAACGAGUUUAAACCUGACAGGUUCUUGACAACCCAUGCUGAUCUUGAUUUCAGGGGUCAAAAUAUGGAGUUCAUUCCUUUUAGCUCGGGGAGAAGAUCUUGCCCUGCCAUAAAUCUUGGCUUGAUAGUGGUUCAUCUGACACUUGCUAGGAUCCUUCAGGGUUUUGAUUUAACAACUGUUGCAGCCUGUGGACAUGAUUGAAGGCCCAGGCAUUGCCUUGCCGAAGGAGACCCCUCUCGAAGUUGUCAUCGAACCACGCCUAGGAUUGGAGCUCUACUAGGUAUCAAUGCCUUUGCCUUCACCAGUACAUACAUACAUCAAUAAAAAAGUUGAUUUAGGCAUCUUAACAAGUUAAGCGUAUGAGCUUGCGUCAGAUUAUGCUACUAUGCUAUGUAAUGAAGCGAAUACCAACAGAUGUGUGAUAUCUGGUGAUGGCUAUGAAUAUAAUGGCCAGCUUACGUGUACCUCGAUUAAUUUCACGGGUCUUAAAUUUAAUGAUCAUGUAAACCUCAAAUGGAUUUGAAAUUUAUAAAAUUCGAAAUUAUAAUAUCUAGAAAACAGAUUUAAAAUCUGACUAAUUAAACUACACUCAUUGCGCCUUUCUUUUUUCUAAUGACCAGAGAUCGGUUCGGGUUACAAAAUCUCUCGUUCAACAGACCAGAGAUUUCUGCUGCAGUCUCAACUAGAUUACUUUCACGUUCUGUUUUUAUUUGGUAUAUAGUUUAUGCGUUUUAGAAUAUAAUAAUAACAACAAUCAUAAUAAAAAAUAGUGUUUUCACCUGGAAAUGGUGUGUGUAUAUAUAUAUAUAUAUAUAUAUAUAUAUAUAUAUGUAUAUAUAUAUGUUUUUGUAAUUUAUAUUUAAAUUUAUUUUUUAUAUAUACUUUUCUUUCAAAAAUUAUUAUACAAAAACAAAAUAAAAAAUAUUUUAUUGUUGCAAAUACGCUAAUAACACCUAUACAUUAAUAUUUUUGUAUUAGAAAAAAAAUAAAAUUAGUUGACUUGCAGCGAGACGAGUUAAAUAUAUACGUAAUACUUUAUUUUUAAUAUUUAUUAGCAUAAAUAGUUUUUGAUAUAUUUAAUUUAAUGCAUAUAUAAAAGUUUUGAUUUUUAAUUAAAAUUCAAAAAAGACUUUAAAAAAUUUACAUAUUUAUGUUUUUUACGAGAAAUAUUACUUAACUUUAACCAAAACGUAGAUCAAAUAAUUGAUUUAGGCUUUUAUAUUUUUAAAAUAAUUUUUAAAAAAUUAAAAUUUAUUUUUUCUCUCCCAACAUCCCCGUAAAAUUGGAAGGGCAAAUUAGCUUUCCCGACGCCAAUACAUGAGAGAAGUAGUUGCGUUUAUGAAUAAAUAAUGACCUCAUCAUCAAUAGCCAUCCACUGACAAAAGUACACGCGAUACAACUUCCAAAGUAGUGUCAUGUAUCGAGGUACGAGGUACGUCAUUUUCAAAGAAACUUUUAUCACCUUGUAAUCGAUUCACAUGUUCAGUGUACAAAGGAAACUUCGGAUGACAAGUAAUUAGGUAAGAGUUUAUCUACUCUUAUGAUUCGAUGAUAAAGGAUUUUAGAAGGAAUUAUAAGCAAGCUUUUAGAGCAUUUGUCUUGAUGAACUAAGGCCUGUUGAUAGGUUCGCUUGUGUCACAGUAACAGAUCUUGCUUGGAAUGUUGAUUGCAUUGCAAAGAUCCUUUCAAAGCAUGCGUGGUCGAGAAAUUAGUUUUGACAAGAUUAGUCUUCAAUUUGGCACGCGACAUCCAAGACUUAUUCAAGAUGACAUUAUUCAAGACUUUUGUAAUAUAGUUUUAUUAGUUUGGGUGUAGAUUUAAAUGUGAUUUGUAAAUGAGUAAUGUUAAAAUAAUUGUUUUAAUGUAAAAAUUUAAAUUGUUAAAUGAGAUUUGACACUACCAGAAAAUCAGCGAAAACCAACAGAAUUACCGACAUAAUUUUUUGUUCCGUCUCUAAUUUUGUUGGUAUGUACCGAUAGAAAAUACCCGUUAGCAAUAAGGUUGGUAUAUACCGAUGGAGUACGUCUGUCGAUAUAUAUCGAUUGUAUCGCCGAUGAAUUAUAUAGUUUUUUUUGAAAAGUUGCAACUGUGUAAUGACGUGAAUUUUUUUUAAGAUGAUUUUACCGAUGGAAUGACCAAGGGCUUCAAACAGAAUGUUCGUACAGUGACGUGGCACAGUCACUGGCGGACUCACCGAUGGGUAUACCGAUGGAACGUGUCCGUCGGUGAUUCCAUCGUCAACAAUCGAUAUAUACCCACUCUGCCGACACUCUAUUUCUCCUUCUUUUUCCCUAUCUUCUUCCUCAUCCCACCUCUCCCCUCUCGAACUGCAGCCAACCACCCAUCACAACUCUCCCCCUCUUCUUAACACAAGCACUCAAGUUUCUUAUACUUUCGUACGUGGUCACAACAUCCAUUCUUGUGGAUUUUAUCAUUUUUUGUAAGUAAAUCUAUCCUUUUUAGUCUUAACAUUUAAAUGUGAAUUAUUUUUUUUAGUAUAUGUUUUUUUGUUAACGUAUGUACUUGUUUGAUUGUUAUUUAUCAAAUAAACUUGUAGUAUGAAUGUAUGAUUUUGUAGUUGUUAUAGUUUGUUUUAGAUUUUGUCAAAUUAUAUUUGUUUGUAAAUUGUUGAAACUUUGUUUGAAUUACACCAAAUUAGAUGCAUUGUGAUGAAAUAAAAAAUAGUUUGUUUAACGGUUCCAUUUUAAUUUUUAUCAAUUCUAUUGCGAAGUUGUAAUUUCCAUAAAUUUAUAUGCACGUUGAUAGUUGAUAAUGAAUAUUUAACAUAAGUGUUUUUUUAGUUUGUUGGAUAAUGUCGGGGCAAACGAAUAUUUUGUUAUGUUUAUUUAGGUAACAUAGUUAAUUAAUACAUGUUGUCGUCAUAAUUUUAUAGAGGUUUGAUAGAAGUCAUGGAUGUAUCGGGACUUACCCCAAGGAUUGCAGAGGAUGGAUUAUUGUAACGGGGUUCAGGAUUUUAUUAAUUUCACAACAUCUAUCCCGAUAAAUUUUACUAAUUGCGGUAUUAGGUGUCCAUGCACGAAGUGUAAAAAUAAAAAUUUUUGCAUCAAGAUGUUGUAACGAUGCAUCUUCUACCCAAAGGUAUGCACACCGAGAACUAUUUGUUCCUAAUGAGAGCAUGGUAGAAAGGGUGGUUGGGUCAACUUCUAGUGCUAGCAACAUGCAUGAAGUUGGAAAUGACAACAGUAAUCCUUAAAGGAACAUGGUUAUGGAUGCAAUGAGAAGGAGUGAAUGUAAUGUCAGUGAAUGUCCAAUCAUGGAAGAAGAACCUAAUAUAGAUGCAACAAGGUGUUUUAACCUGUUGAAAAAUUCUGACGAACCAUUAUUGGAUGGCUGCACAAACCACAUUAAAUUAUCGGUUGUAGCGCAGGUGUUCACCAUCAAGUCAUAUCACAAGUUGAGUGAGACCGGUUAUGACAAGAUUAUCGAAUGGGCAAGAAUCAUUUUACCUGAAGGGAACAAGUUGAAAGAGAACUUCUAUGCUGCCAAGUCCAUGAUGAAACCCCUUAGUUUAUGCUACCAUAAAAUUGACAUGUGCCCUAACUUCUGCAUUUAUACUACCUUGAAAAUGCUGAGCUGACGGAGUGCAUGACAAGUGGGCAUUCCUGUUAUAAACCCAGAACUGGUAGAGGAAAGACUCUCGUGGCAUAUAAAAAACUUAGAUACUUCCCAAUCACACCUAGACUGUAGAGGUUAUUCAUGUCACCAAGGACUGCUGAGCAUAUGACAUGCCACCAGUCACAUCAUGGGGUUAAUGGAGUGAUGGUGCACCCUUCUGAUGGCGAAGCAUGGAAACACUUUAACAUUGUGCAUCCUUACUUUUCAGCUGAAUUAAGGAACAUGCGUCUUGGGUUUUGUACAGACAGAUUCAACCGAUUUGGGUCAUUUGCUGCUCCUUAUUCUUGUUGGCCGGUAAUACUGAAGGUUUAUAACUUGCCACCGUGUAUGUGCAUGAGGCCGGAGUUCAUGUUUUUAUAUAUGGUUAUACCAGGUCCGAGCAGUCCGGGGUGGAAUAUAGAUGUUUGUCUUCGAUCAUUGAUUGAUGAGUUACCGUAGUUGUGGUUCUCUAGAGCUUUGACUUAUGACAUCUCGAGGAAACAUAAUUUUGUUAUAAGAGCGGCUUUGUUGUGGACUAUUAAUGAUUUCCUAACUUAUGAAAUGUUUUAUGGUUGGAGCACUCAUGGAAAACUAGCAUGUCCAUACUGUGUCGAGAACAAUAAGGCAUUCACGCUAACAAACAAGGGUAAAGCUUCUUUUUUUUACUGUCACCGUCGUUUCUUGCCACUGAAUCAUAGGUACAGAAAGAACAUAAAGGAUUUCUUUGUUAGUAGAGUUGAAAAGGAUGUUGCACCCCUAUGUCUUCUGGUGAAGAAUUGCAUGAUGUUGUGUCAGAGUAUGGUGACAUUGUGUUUGGUCUCCAAUCAGGUAAGCAGAAGUUUCCUGGUUUUGGUUUGACCUAUAAUUGGGUGAAGCGAAGUAUCUUUUGGGAGCUUCUUUAUUGGAAGACCAAUCUUCUUCGCCAUAACCUUGACGUCAUGCACAUUGAAAAGAACGUGUUUGAGAACAUUUUCAACACCGUCAUGGAUGUGAAGGGGAAGACAAAGGACAACAUCAAGGCUAGAUUAGAUGUAGUGUUGUUCUAUAACCAUAAAAAUAUAGAGUUGGUUUGUGAUGGGUCACGGGUCGCAAAACCAAGAGCAAGCUUCGUGUUAGAGAAAAACGCACAACUACUAGUCUAUAAAUGGCUUAAGAGUCUGCGUUUUCUUGAUGGACAUGCCUCGAACAUAUCAUGACUGGUUAAUACGAAGGAAUGCAGAUUAUAUGGAAUGAAGAGUCAUGACUGCCAUGCGUUAAUGCAAACACUCAUCCCAUUAGCUUUUCGUGAUUUGUUGCCAAAGGGGAUAUGGGAUGCACUAAUGGACAUCAGUCAUUUCUUCAGAGAUAUAUGCUCCAAUAAAUUGAAUGUUGAUCACAUUGAAAAGCUUGAAACGAAUAUCGUCGAGACAAUAUGCAAACUUGAGAUGAUAUUCCCUCCAUCUUUUUUUGACUCAAUGAAGCAUCUACCCAUACAUUUACCGUUUGAGGUAAAAGUUAGAGGACCGGUCCAAUACAGAUAGAUGUAUCCAUUCGAGAGGUUAGAUAUUAUAGUUGCUAUGUAAUUCAUAAAAUGUUUUUUCAUUUUUUUAAUUGAUAAUAUUUUUAUUAAUUCUAUAUAUAUAUAUAUAUAUAUAUGUGUAUGCAUGCAUGCAGGUACUUGUUCAAUCUUAAAAAAAGGUUAAGAACAAGGCACAUGUUGAGGCGUCAAUAUAUGAGGCCUAUAUUGUUGAGGAGAUCUUAAUAUUUAUCUUAUACUAUUUCGAACCUUAUUUGAAAUGAGGAUCAACCAUGUUCCACGGCAUGAUGAUGGUGGUGGAGUGCUUUCAAGUGGAAACUUGUCAAUAUUCUCUAAUCUUGGACAACCCACACCUAAAAAUUCCGUGAGGGGAAGAUAUUUGUCUAAAAUAGAGUCCAGACAAUCACACAAUUAUGUCUUAUUUAACUGUGAUGAGCUGAGACCUUUUAUUAAGUAAGUAGAUGUUCGACUUAAACUUUGUCAAGAGUGUACUAUUUAUAUAUUGUGAUACCAUAAACUCAUAUAAGUUGGAACAACCUUGCAGGCAACAUCGACGAUACUUACUGUAAAAAAACUUACAGCUAACCAAAUCCUAGAUCUUUUAAUUACAAGAUGAACAAUUUGCCAUGUGGUUUAGAACACAUGUAAGUCCUAUCAUAAACUCAUUAUCUCUUGCAAUGUAUUAUUGUUGUAUUUGAUAUAUAAGGUUUAUCAAAUGGGAGGUAGUGCUGCUAUUUCACUGUCUUUACUAAGCUCGGGCUCUAAAAGAAAAGUCAAGUGCUGUAACGGGUAUUUUGUCAAUGGAUGUCUUUCAUACUGAAGAAUACGGGCAUGGAAGAAAGACAUACAAUAGCGGUGUUUGUAUUAAGGGAUCGACUUCGAGUGAGUUUGAAGUUGACUACUACAGUAGAUUGGAUGAGUGAUUAGUACUUAAAAGUGCAUUUUUAUCAAGGUUUUAUAUCAUCAUUUUGCACUUGAAGUAUCAAUAACUACUUAACUAAAGCAUGUUUUAUAAUAACAUACCUAAUAAUAUAAGAUACCUUUAAUUUAUGGUAAAUGUUCAUCUUAAAUUCAGGCCUAUCACAUAAAUGAAAGGAUUGAUUUAUGAGUUUAAGUAUUGAAAUUGAAAGGACAAAGAGAUGGCCAAACUUAGAAAAGAGAUGUUGAUGCAGUCUAAACUGGAAUACUAUUUGGUAAUUGGGUCAUAUCUCGAGUUUUAAAUGUCCAAAUGACCUAAAUAUUUUGGACAUAUUCGGUAAGACAUAGGCCUAAAACUUUCAUGUGGAGUCCAAGAUUUAAAAAGGUCAUUUUCAAGUCUGAAUUAUAGCAACAACGGAGAAGUCUGAAUCUGUCCUGCAGCCCAAACACUGUUCAAUGUUCAGCCCAUAUCUUGAGUUCUAGAAGUCCAAAUGACCUCAAUUGUUUUUUUUAGGAAAGAUAAUACAAUUUCCUAUAACUUUCAUCAGUACAUGUGGUUCUAGUUCUGAUGCUAGCCAUGAAAUUUUAUUCAGACAAGAAGAUAAAAGAUUUUCACCAAGUCAAGAGUUGGCCACCCACUCAACAAUUAGUCAUCAAAUCAAUAGUUCCAAAUUUUGGCCUAUAAAAGGAGGCAUUUGCCAUGCAUUUAAGGGCUUGGUUGUUUAGAUCAAGAACUUGCUCUUGCUCUCUCUCUCUCUAUAUAUAUAUUUCUUUUGUAAUUCUUAAGUUUUGCUUUCAUUAAUAUCUUUUUAUGCUUUUCAUUUCAUUUCCUUUACUUAGUUAACUUGUAUCUUGUUUAUGUUCUUAUUUUGUUUAUUUAUGUUUCUCUUCUUCAUUAUGUUUGUCGCACCCCAAAAAAAAUCCGAAGCGCGGCAUCGACUGGCGAUUAUUCGUUUUGUUUUGUUGAUUUGGUUCUUUGGAGUCGCCACCUAGUAAUUCAUUGAGGGCUACUAGGAAACCUGAUGUACUGGUCUUGUCAGAGAUCGCGGGUAAGGGACUGGUUGUGGUUAGGGAAGGUAUUAGCACCCCUAACGCACCUUACCUGAGGUAAGCUGCUUUGUGGACUUGAUGUGUUAAAGAAGCUUUAAAAAUUCUGUUCUUUCAUCGAAUUUUAGAAAAUACAACUUACAUGUAAGUUCAUGAUUCUUUAUCCGUGAUUAAAUCAUAAUAUUAAAUUCUUCUUUAUUCUUGCAAUUUUAUCAUAAUAAAAAAACAUUCAUAAACAAAAAUACACACCACAUUCACUUUCAAGCUUCGUGGACUUGAUGUGAUUUUAAAAACAAAAUUUUAGCCCAAUUCUAAGGCUUUGAUAAAUCAGUUAUUACUUUUCCAGAUUUAUAUGUAGAUACAUGUUCUACAUUUUCAUGGAAAAUUCAACAUGAUUUUUAUCUGUCCUUUAGAUAUUUGUGCAUAUAAAUUAAAUUCCUUUUUUUAUUAUUCAAUAACAUACAUAAAAAAAAUACAAACACACACAAACAUUUUUUUUUUUAUUUCUUUUAUUUCUUUUCUUUUUUUUUCUUUUCUUUUACAUCACAAUACAAAUACAAAUCCAAAUUCAAAAAAAAAAAACUAAAUAAAAAAUUACAUGAAUUAAUUUAAAAUUUACAAAAUAGUCCCUAAACUCCCAAAAUUGUAGGGAAGCCCUUCAUACAUGCCGAAACAGUGCCGGCGCGUCUGGUCCAUGCGCCACCGCCACUAGCGGCGCGUGGACCCACGCGCCGCUGAGAACAGACCCGCACACCAGCUGGAUCUGGCUCUACUCCGUCUCCUCUUCCCUUCUGCACUGGCAGUGAGGGGGCAACAACACCUGCAGAACCAAAGAAAAUCACAUCCAGUCGAUUUUAAUUUUUCGGGUCUAGAUCCAAGGAUCUGUUUUUUUUCUUCUCCUUUUCAGGUCUGCAUCACUACAGAACCUUCGUUUGUUUAUAUCUCCUUCUCCUUCACUUAAGAUGGCCGGCAGCUGGGUGGCGCUGCAGUGUUUAGAGGGCGGCGGUGAAUCAGUGGGGCUGUUCCUGACUGGUCGGUGAACCUGUGGCCGCCGUGUCUCAGCUGCAGUUCGCAACUGCUGAAGGGGUCGGCGGUGAGGGAAUGGACGGAUGGCAGAUCUGAUGACCGGAGCUGCGGGUGCAGCCGUGCGUGUCUCAGCCGUGCAGCCGGAGGAGCUGCAGACGACGUCUGCUUCGGUCUCUGAUGGGGAAAGAGACGCUACUGUUGGCCUGUGGGUUGGAGAUCGGUGGCGGCGGCUGCGGUGAGAGGAGCUGCUGUGUUUGGCCGGUUGGAGAAGAAACAGGGGCCGGCAUGCAGGGGAGGUUGGUGUCGGCUGGGAGAAGAAAAAAAAAAUGGCUUCGGGGUGGAGCUGUGUGUGGGGGAAGGAAGAAGAGAAAAAUCAAAAAUCAAAGGGGUGGGGGGCCCCGGCGUUUUGCCUCUCGUGAGGGAGAAGAAGAAAAGUUUCAAACCUGCGGUUUGCUGGCGGCUCCGGAUGGGUGAGGGAGAAGCUAUGCUUGCUGGCGAGAAGAAGGAAAAAAAAAUCUGAUGAGGGGGGCUGGGGAGGCGCCGGCCUGGCGGCUCAGAAAAGAAAAAAAAGCUUGUAGGGUUUUUCUUUGUGUUUUUGGUUCCCUCUCCCCAAAAUUACCAAAUGACCCCCCCCUUUUUUUUUGAGUUUUCAACCUAUAUUUAUAGGUAAAAGUUUGUUCAAACCUCCAAAUUGGUCCCUCAACUUUCUUUUUUUGUAAAUUUUGAUUUUUCUUGUUUUUUUCUUGUAUUUUUAAAAACGAGCAAAAUCAACGUCAAUUCUAUGAGAAAAAUUACGAUUUUAAAAUGACGCGUGAAAAGUCGAACGCGUUCGAAAAAACAAUUGAAAAUUAAAAUUAUUUUUAAAAGACGUUGAAAAUGCUAAAAACAUUGCAAAUAUAUUAAAAACAUUUUUUUUUUGGAUUUUUGUUGUUUUUCACUAUUUUUGGAUUUUUUUGAAAAAAUUAUUAAAAAGGUGGGUCAAAAAUUGGGUAACAACAAUGUUUAACUAAGUUUAUUAUGUCAAAGUGAAAAGGUUACACUAAUAGUGUAAGAAUAAGUAUGGUGUAAACUCAACAUGGACCUUAAUGUUUAAUAUUAACAUGUCUUAUCUUUUUAUCUUACUAAUUCUUAAUACCUUGCUUGUUAAAUGGUUAAUCUAGAUUUGUGUUGUAUAACACUUGGUACAACAAAUGCUUGGCACUCUCAUAGCCCAACCGUAUGAUAUUACCUACACAUGUGCUAUGAAUGGAACUUGAUUUGUUGUCAACAUAAGUUAGCAUCAUGAAUUCCUUAAAAUAUUUCAAAUUUUGGUGUUACGUAAAUAAAAUAAUUAAUAUGAUGAUGUUAACAAUUUAUAAUGAGCUAUUAAUAACAAAUCAUCUGAUUGGAACCUCCUUUGUGUGUGGUUAUCAAUUGAGUAAUAAGAGUUUAUACUAUACUUGUUUGAAAUACCAUUAGUGGAUCCUCUAACCUUGAUAUUUGUGUUCAUUAUUGUUUAAUCCUUACAUUAAUCUUCCAUCUCAAAGUUCUCAUCAACUUCUUCUUUACUACUACUACUACUACUAUUACUACUACUGUUGUUGUUGUUGUUGUUGUUGUAUUAUUGUUGUCUAUAAUUUAUACAAUUAACCUUCUUGUGGUUCGACCCCGGUCUUUCCAGGUUAUUUAUUACUUUGACACUCUUGCACUUGGGAGAAGACAUCAAUCUUUUAGUCGUGUCAAGUUUUUGGCGUCGUUGCCGGGGAGGUAAAUUCUUGUACAAAUUAUAGUAUUUAUUUUAUUUUCUCUUUUCACUUUUCUUGUAUUUAACUUUGUUUCUUUUCUUUUCUUUUGUUUCUUUUUCUUUUGUUUACUUUUUCCUUUUAUUUUCUUUCUACACGUGCAUGAGUGUUUGGUCACGUACAGUAAGUGGUAGACUUUGUAUGGUAUCCUCAUCAUUUUCAGAAAAUAUGACCGAAGAAAAUAACCAAUCACUUCAUAAUGAGAAUAACCAAGUUAGAACACUUAGAGACCACAUGAAUCCCACAAAAACAAGUGUACCCUCAUGCAUAGUUUUCCCUCCUGAUGCAUCUCAUUUUAAUUUUAAGCCAGACAUUAUUCAACUUUUACCUUCUUUUCAUGGCUUAGAUCUAGAAAAUCCAUACUUGUAUUUGAGAGAAUUUAAAGAAGUUUGUAACACCUAUAAUGACUUAAAUUGUAGCAUGAAUACCAUUAGAUUAAAGCUUUUUCCUUUUUCAAUAAAAGAUAAAGCUAAAAAAUGGCUACAAAAUCUUAUAUCAGGAUCCAUUAGUGCUUGGGAUGAAAUACAACAACAAUUUUUAAAGAAGGUUUUUUCAUCUCACAAAACUAACUCUUUCAAAAGACAAAUCACCACUUUCACUCAAAAACCUGGUGAAACAUUUUACCAAUGUUGGGAUAGUUAUCGAGACUUGCUUAAUACUUGCCCUCAUCAUGGUUUUAAAACAUGGAGAUUGGUUUCAUAAUUUUAUGAAGGGUUAACACCUAAAGAUAGGCAAAUGGUUGAAUUGAUGUGCAAUGAAACUUUUGAAGAUAAAGACCCUAAUGAAGCAAUGGAGUACCUAGACUUGCUAGCUGAAAAUGCGUAAAAUUGGGACACUACGGGCACUUAUGAGGCACCAAGUAAAACCCAACUUCAUACAUCUAGUGGAGGUAUGUAUAACCUUGGGGAAGAUCAUGACCUCCAAGCCAAGUUUGCAUCUUUAACCAGAAAAGUUGAGGCACUAGAAUUGAAAAGGAGUGGUCAAUUAAAAUCUGUUCAAGACAUUGUGUGUCAAAUCUGUGAAACAAAUGAACAUGCAACCAAUGACUGUCCAACUUUGCCUUCUUUCAAGGAAUGCCUCCAUGAACAAGCUCGUGCUUUAAACAGUUUUCAAAGGCCCAAUCAUAACCUAUACUCGCAAACAUACAACCCUGGUUGGAGAAACCACCCAAAUUUAAGUUGGAAGAGUGAUAAUAAUAAUGCACAAACUUCAUAGCCAUCGUUUCAAGCACACUAUAAUUUUCAAAAUUCUCAUGGAUAUGCACCUCCUUGUUGUAACCCAUUUUUGGGUCUUCACCUAAAAAAUACAAAAAAAUUCAAAAAAAUAUAUUAUCAAAAAAUAUAACAGUGAAAAAAAAAUGCCAAAGCGCCUUAAAAAUAUUCAAAAAUUGAUUAAGGAUGUUCAAAAAAAUUAAAAUUAAAAUUUGACAGUAUAUCAUUGACUGAUGCAAGCCCCGAUGAUAAAGAAAAUUCAAUUUGAGGAAGAAAAAUGCAAAAUUAGAAGUUUAUGGACUCAAUUAAAUUUUAUUGAAGGUUUAAUUGAAUUUAUAGAGGUUUUAAUUGCAAAAACAAUUCAUUUUUGAGUUAUUUUGGGCUUUAAUUGGAAGAAAUUAAUUUUCUGGGGUCAAAUUAUAAUUUUUGGAAGUUAAUUUGGUCAAAUCAGGGGCUUAAUUGCAUAAAUAUUGAAGUUUAAUGGCCAAUUAGGGACUAAAUUGAAGACAUCCGAGACCAAGGACGACAUUGUAAAACGCGCGCAAUUUGAGGGCCUUCUUUGAAAUCUGACGCAUUUUGGCGCCUUUUUCUUUUAAAUGAAACGGCGCAUUUUGACCAAAACGGCGCCGUUUCAUUCACUGUUGCAAAAAAAAAAUAAAAAAAUAAAAUAGAAGCCCUAAACGGCGCCGUUUUGACGGCACUGUAGGUCUUCUUCUUCCCCUGGACGCGCGAGGCAGGGGAAGAAGAAGAUUUUUCUUCUCCCUUUUCGCCUAACUUCUUUCCCCGUUUUUACGCAAUAAGACGCCCACCAUUCGACGCCCACUUGCCUCCUUUUUAUCCGUUGAACGGAUAGUGGAGGGGCGGCCAACAGUGGCCGCCCUACCACCAUUGCCCCCCCUGUUUUUGCCUAUAAAAACAGGGGAGGACCGAAGAAAAAGAGAAGGAGAAGGAGAAGGAUUGCACGACAGAAAGAGGGUAGAGAGAGACGAGAGAAACAGAAAAAAAAAGAAAAAAAGAAGAAGGAAGAGAUUCGGCAGAGAAGAGAACAAAAACAGAGAAGAGAGAGAGAAGGAAAACCACCGGCCACCGUGCCUCCGCCUCCAGCAACACCGCCUCGACGCCACCGCAGUAACCAGCCUGUUUGGGCCUGGGCUGGGCCGUCGGCCCAGCCCAUGUAAAUAGGCUUGGUCGGCCCGGCCCAUGCAUUUGGGCCGGGUCCGGCCCAUUUUUAUUUUUUUCUUUUAUUUCUUUUAUUUUUUUAUUUUUUGUUUGUUAUAAUUUAUUUAUAUUUAUUUUUUUAAUAUCGUCUUUAUUAUUUUACAUCGUAAAAAUAUAAAUCCGGUAUUAAAAUACCCCGUUUUUGUCCCGUGGUACUGUUCACCCGGCCCAUUAAUUUAAAACAUCAUCAAAAAUAUUUUUUUUCAUUUAUAAUUUUUCCGCAUAGUUUUUAUGUCAUUUGGAUUAAUAUCAGACAAUAUUUUUAUGUCGUAAAAUACAAAUCCGGUACUGAAAUACCCGGUUUUCGACUUUCAAGAAUACAAAAACAAAUUAACAAAAAACAUGUUUUUGUGCAUACGGCCAAAUGUCUCAAAAAAAAAAAUCAUUUUGUAUUUUUCAUACAAAAAAAAAAACAAUGUUUUAGCAUGCAUUUUGACUUUAAUAACCAGUUUAUUAAAGUCAAGAGAAUAUUGCCCAAAAUUUCAAAAACAACAAAAACAUUUAUUUUGUUUAUCUUUUAAUAUCCGGGGUAUGACAUUAUACGUAAUACAUAUUCCAGAUAUUUAAUUUAUUAUUAUAUUUUUUUAAUAGAACUUGGGAUAUGACAUUACAUGUAAUGCAUAUUCCGAACAAUAAUAAAAAAAAAAACCACAAACACGACCUUAGAUUUUAUCAGACAUUAAAACAAUGCAGCCUACCUUAGGUAGGGCGUAGUUGGGGUGCUAAUACCUUCCCUUUACGCAACCAGUCUCUGUACCCCGAUCUCUAAAGACCAGUUAAGGUUCCUAGUAACCAGAAUACUAGGUGGCGACUCCCAGUCCAUUUUUUUUUUACAUAUAGAGACAAGAAUUCCUUGUCUCUCCUUAUGUUCCAGGAAUAAAUAUUUCGAUUUUUCCUUGAGGGUGGACGAUCGCCAUCGCCGCGGCGCCACACACGUGCGACAUAAUGGCGACUCCGCUGGGGACCUUGUGGACUAAGCUUUGUUUUGUCUGAUUUUUUUAUAUAUAUAUUCUUUUUUCUUGUGGUUUGCAUGUUUAUUUUUAAUAUUUUAAUAUGCAUUUUCUUUAUUUUUAUUGCUUACGUGCUUUAAUUCAUGUACAUAUAUAUGUCAAUGCUUUAAUUUAUUGAAACGAAUACACAAGCCUUUAAGUUAAGUGGGGAAUUAACGAUCUGCCCUAUGACUAUUGGUCGGGUUCAGAUGCGUGAAACACCCAACUCAUAUCUGAGUGUCUGCUUGGUAAUGGUGGGCAUACGUGCUUUAACUGUUCCUUGCAACGCCCCCAUUACUACCUUUACGAAGGCCGUCACUGGGCAGAUAUGAGACCUUUUUUGAGACUAGGUAGAAAACCUACCUUUUUUUUGUCUCACAAAAUGAUUAGAACGUAACCUUAGGAUUUUUAUUACUUUACAGUCUUAUAUAUUACUUUCCUGUUAUUUGCAUUUGCAUUUAAUCAUGUAACAAUCAUCAUUAUAGGUUGAACUGAAAUCAUGACUGAGUAUCAAUCUUUUCACAAGUUUGGGCAAGAAUCUGAGCUGACCCAGGUAGCUGAAGGAAACUGUCCAAGAAUCAAUAUCAGUACAUUACCCGAGAUUACCAAAAUAAAUCACACAAUCAAUGACUUGGAGAAAAUAUGGCCCAUAAUGAGAUAUGUUGACGAUACACUUUUCGAAAGGCGAUAUGGAAGAAUUGCUCAAUUAAUGAGGCUACCCUUACAAACAACAGCAAUCAAAGCCCUAGUAACCUUUUGGGAUCCUAGUUAUCGAUGUUUUACUUUUGGGAGCAUAGAUAUGACACCUACCUUGGAGGAAUAUGAGAGGAUCCUGGAUUUUCCAAACAAAAGCCACAGAAUUUACCUCAGACGAAAUUUUGAAGGCACAGCCGCGGAGGUGAUAAAGAUGUUAGGCCUGGGAAUGAUCAGUCAAUGCAGAAUAGCUAAUGGGGGUUUUAAAUGGAAGGUCAUUGAAGCUAGGAUGAAGAAAAAUUCUGAGGAAGGCAGAUUAGGAGACGAACGAUACCGAUUGGUGGCUUUUGCUAUUUUUGGCCUCGUAUUGUUUCCGUCUGAAAUUGGGGUCAUCAGCUUGGAAGCCGCAAGCAUAUUUUUAGAAUAUGAGUAUGAUCAGAUCAAUCCCUCUUCAGCAAUUUUGCCGAAACCAUGUUGUCACUCAACCAUUGCAGAAUAAAUGGCAAGGGGGUAAUGAGAUGUUGUGUCCCUAUGUUAUACUUAUGGAUUAUCAGUCAUAUUGAGACACCAAGGGACAUCUUCAACAACUUCUGGUGGUUCGACCUUCGACCAUUGAAAGUUACAAUAGAAGAGACUUGGAGACAUUGGGAUGAGAAAGCAUGGAUAAAGAAGUAUUCUACACUACCACAAAGCAACUUCAAAUGGAAAGCACCAUGGAUGAACAACACAGUCUGUAUAAUGAGUUGUGGAAGUAAGGAUGGGUUUCCCCUAUUGGUGUAACGGGAUACAUCAGUUAUGCCCCAGCAUUGGUAACAAGACAGUUAGGUGGAAUGCAGUAUGCACCAAGAACUCUGGGUUUAGCAGAUUUCAUGGGAUUAUUCAAACAUCAACCAUACCUCAAAGAAAUGGAACUCAUUCGACAAGACUGGGAAAGGCCUGUUCUGGUGAAAAGGGAAGAAGGCAGCAUGUUUGACUCAUCUAUCAGUCAGAAUUAUGCAAGUUGGAGAAAUGGAAAGCUUCUUGAGGUAAUAGAGUCUUCAACACAUGAGCAUCUUGAGUCAAUAAUGGAGCAUCCAAAAAGAAAAAGGACUCUUCAUGAGGAGGAACUAAGAAGACAGUUGGAGAGUUGUGGCACAGACCUCGGCAAAAGCAAAAGACAGCAACAAGUCCUGGAAAAACAAGUAGAAGAAGAAAAUAUGAUGAGGAAUUGCUUAAAACAACAACUCGAAGAGAAAGAGGAGCAACUAAUAUCUUGCAAACAAUGGCAGAAAAGAGCAGAGAUAGCUGAAGCAAUAGCCAAAGGAAGCCAGGAGGAGGUGAAAGAUCUCAUAAGUGCAAAUGACAAACUGAGUCACAAAAAUGGGAUCACAGAAAAAGAAUUGAUCAAGAUAAAGAAAUCAAUAAAAAGCAAGAUAAUUACAGAUAAAGAGACAUUGGACUCUUUGAAGAAAGAAAGGAGCGGUUUCAUAAGAAAGAUAAGAAUUGAAAAAGAGAAGAAUCGACAAGUCCACCCCGACAUAGAAGAAGAAAGAAGAGUACGUGCCCAAUAUAUGGUACAGUUGGAGGAAGAGAGAAGUAUGAGAAAGACUGCCGAGGUGGAUAGAAGAGAUUACCAGAAAAGGGCUGAGGAUUCAAAAGAGAAGAUAAUGAUUCUACAAUCUGAGUUGGAAAUACAAGAAAAGCGGCUAAGAAGACAUUAUGGUGAAGUAGAAAAAGAGUUACAUGAGCUGAAGCAAGUGCGCCAGGAAUGUCAAGAUAUUGACAGGUUUACAAUUCAAAUGAACUCCAAAAUCGCUGAGCUAGACAUUGCAAGAGAAGAAUUACAAAGAGUCAGGACUACAUUAACAUUGUUUGAGACAAUGGUCCGAACAUUGGAAAGGAGCAAUGAAGUGAUAAUCACCGAUAACGCCUUGUUGCAUGCAAAAAUAAGACAUAUGACGAAACAGAUUGGGCAAGUGGCUCGUUAUGCGGAGAGGAUGAUGCAACAAGCUACCCAAGUUGGAAAUAGUGUUACAAAAUAUCGAGAAUAUAUGGGGGCUCUCAUUUCAUUUGUUGAAGACUUAGCUGAUAAGGGGGAUGCCUUGUAAAAUAGUUUUUGUAUUAAGUGCUGUUGAUUUAUACCUUUUUGUACAAGCUUCAAUUUCGUUAUAAAAAGGUUAUAACCUAUCUUUCUUUCCACUUGAAUGUUAUAACCUAGUUCAUUAAAAUAUACAUACGCAUCCUACUUGCAUCAUACAUUUGUUUAUAAUAUGUCAUUUGCAUACCGAAGUUGAAACAUAGGUCCCCCACAUAAGGUCCAUUACACUAGAUUCAGAACAAGAAUGGAACACGAAGAGAGGGCUCACCUAGAAUCCCGCUACCAGAGCGAGCUAGAAUUAGUGAAAAGUGAAGUGUCACGGAUGUCUAAUCUGCUUGAACAACUGUUAAAAGCAAAAAGUGGGGAGGGAACAUCCACCCAGCCAGUUACGAGUUCACCCGUAUCGCACAUUCCCAUAGCAUCACCAAUUCUGGGGGCAGAUUCAGUAACAGAACAACAUUUUGCGCCAGCCAUCCCUAUCCGGCCAGCUCACACGCUACCCACCGUGGAUUUAACGACGGACGGCCUGUUGAUAGUAGGUCAAGCAAUUUUCAUAAGCCAAGAUAAAAUAUCUGCAUUAGAGGAACGGUUGAGAGCUGUAGAAGGAAAUGAUUGGUUUGACCCAACACGAGCAGCUGAUGUAUGUUUGGUACCAAACAUCGUGGUACCAAAAGAUUUCAGGAUCCCGUAAUUUACCAAAUAUACAGGCUUAGAGUGCCCAAACACGCACCUAAGAUCUUACUGCAACAAGAUGGCUGAAGUGAUCCAUAAUGAUAAAAUGCUGAUAUUUUUUUUUCAGGAUAGUCUAUUAGGCUCUGCUUUAAAUUGGUAUAUGAGGUUGGAAACUGUUAAAAUUAAGACAUGGAAAGAUUUGGUGGAGGCUUUCCUCAAACAGUAUAAAUUUAACCUGGAAAUAGCCCCAGACCGAACAAGCUUGAUGUCCAUGGAAAAGAGAAGCCAAGAGACAGUCAGGGUGUAUGCACAAAGAUGGCGAGAUGAGGCGACACAUGUCCAACCUCCUUUAAUCGAAACAGAGAUGGUGACUUUAUUCGCUAAUACUUUUAAAGCACCUUACUAUGAGCAUUUAAUGGGCAGCUCAUCUCAACAUUUUUAUGAUGUUGUACGAGUAGCAGAGAGAAUAGAGCAAGGCAUUAAAGCCGGACGCAUACCGGAGCUUCUAGAGAAAAAGGGAUUUUCCGGAAGAAGAAGGGAAGGAGAUGUUAACAACUUAGAGGGAGGGUAUAAAGGCAAAAGGGUAAAUUACCCAAACCUAGGAACAUCUACCCCCCAAUUCACCAACAUGAACUUUACCAAACCCUUGUCCCCAAAUCCAACCAACCGAAUAAAUCCCCCACCUAAUAUCCAAAACAACUAUCAAAAGCCAUAUACCAGAUAUACUUCUGAGCAAUUACCUCCAUUACCAAUGCCUUUAAAAGAUUUAUACGCUAAAUUGCUAAGCAUUGGGCAAAUAACCCCAAUCCAUCUACCGCAAAUCCAACCGCCUUUUCCUAUGUGGUACAAACCAGAACUCUCUUGCGAAUACCAUGCCGGUAAUUCUGGGCAUGCAAUUGACACUUGCUACGCUUUUAAAAGGAAGUUGUUAGAACUCAUCAAAAUGGGGUGGGUAUCAUUCGAAGAUCCACCUAAUGUCAUUUCAAAUCCAUUACCUAAACAUACUGCUAGUAGUUCUGGAGUGGGCAUGAUAGAGAUUGGCAAUCAAGGCCAAAUGUUGAAGGUAUCCAUGAAGAGGAUAUACGAUAUGUUGUUACAAUCAGGAUUCCUAAACAUAAGCACUACAUGUCAGUUGGGAAGUGAUAACUAUUGUGAGUUCCACAGGAUGGAGGGACAUCAUAUCGAAGAUUGUGUCAAGUUUCGCCAGAAGGUUGCAAAGAUGCUACUCAUGGGAGAAUUGAGACUCGAAACCCUGGGGGCAACCAGGAGGUGAGUAUGAAGAGUUCAACCUAUGGCUAAUGGGUUCUCAAAGCUGAUCUUGACUAAACCUUCCUUUACAAAAAGAGAUCACAGUGCAAUGCCAUAUAACUAUGUUUGUACCUCGAACAUUCAAGCCCCUCUCCCUUUAUUUCAUUCUGAGGUUAGUGGGCUAACACGGAGUGGCCGCUGUUUUACACCUGAGGAGUUGAAGAAGGCCAAAGGCAAAGAAAUGGUGGAUCUUGAUAAAGAAGUAGAGGUGAAUGAGCCAGUAACAGAGAAGGAGUCGAAUGAAUUUCUCAGGUUGAUCAAGCAUAGUGAGUAUUCCAUAGUGGAUCAACUCAAAAAAACUCCAGCAAGGAUAUCUCUCAUGUCCUUGAUACUAAGCUCGGAGCCUCAUCGAAAUGCCUUACAAAAGGUACUGAACGAGGCAUAUGUCCCCCAGGACAUUGAACAAAACACCAUGGAGCAUUUGGUAGGGAGGAUCCACGCUUCAAAUUACCUAUAUUUCACGGCUGACGAACUCAGUGCUGAAGGAACUGGGCAUAACAAGCCAUUGUAUAUCACCGUGAAAUGCAAAGAUUUCCUUAUUGGAAAGGUGCUUGUUGAUAACGGCUCGGCUCUUAAUGUAUUGCCCAAAUAUAUACUGAAAGAAAUGCCAGUUGAUGAGUCUCAUAUGAAGCCUAGCACUAUAACGGCAAGAGCAUAUGAUGGCUCACCUAGACCAGUCCUUGGGAAUUUAGAGGUCGAGCUGUAUGUGGGUCCACAAAUGUUCCUAACCACAUUCCAAGUUAUGGAUAUCCACCCUUCUUAUAGUAUGUUACUCGGAAGGCCUUGGAUUCAUACAGCUGGAGCAGUACCUUCCUCAUUACACCAGUGUUUGAAAUAUAUCAUGAACGGGAUGUUGGUAACCGUCAAAGCAGAGGAAACAAUCUCCAUGGUAAAGAAUGUGACCAUACCCUUUUUGGAGGCAGAGGAUUGCACGGAUGAGAAUCUUCAUGCCUUUGAGAUUGUAAACACUGAGUGGGUACCUGAAAGCACAGUGCUAAGAAAGCCGAAGAUAUCAGCAGCAGCAAAGAUGGCCGUUCGAUGUUUCUUGGAACAUCGAAUCCCAUUCCAAUAUGACCCGAUCACGGGAAUACCAAAAAGGAUUAAGCCAAUCACAAUGAGAGCUUUUGACCAAAGAUUUGGGCUGGGAUAUAAGCCUAAGAAGGAGGAUCAUCGUUGGGCUGCCAAUAAACGAAGAGAACGAAGAAUGGCUAGAAUCGAGGGAAGGGAGCCUGAAGAAGAAGAAAUGGAAAUCCCUCCACUGAUGGUUUCUUUCCCAAAGGCAGCAUAUGUGAUGCAACCAGAUAACCGAGCAGAAGAUGAUAUUCAAAGGAUGGUAACCAUGAGCAUCAACACCUUGGAAGAUGAUAAGGAGGAAGGAAGUGGCACAAAAACAAUAGUUGAAAUAGAAGAUGAAGUGCUACCACAACUGACUGUUGAAAUGGAAGAUGAAAUGCUACCACAACUGACUGUGCAUACUCUAGAAGAACUCCCCACCAAGACCUUUGUGCGAAGGUUGGCUGAAGGUGAAAAGUUUCAAAACUGGGUGACCCAAGAAGCUCCGCUAGUAUUUAAAAUGUAAACCCCUUGUGCUUGCUUUCAUAUGCUUUUGUUUGUUUAUUUGUUUUUGUCAUUCUAGUUGAUAAUCAAGGCUCAUGAUGUCAACUAGAUUUUGUCUUUAUCCAUGAUCCCACUUUUAUCAUAAUCAAGGAGAUCAUACUUUAUCUACAUUCAUCUGUGUGUUUUUCUCUCUCUUCAAUUUUACAUCAAACAUUCUUUCGCUUUCAGGAAGCCUGAAAGCGAAUCUUCCACAACAUCACAUACAUUUAAUACCAAGAAUGAAUGGCCAAACUUUAACGAACAUGUGACCAUGAUGGAAGAAGAAGAAGGGGAUGAAAAUCAUAUCAAAGAAUUCACAAAACUAGUAGAGCAACAUGAAAAAACAUGGGAACCUGCUGCUGAAGAACUUAAAAUCAUAAAUGUAGGUUGUGAUCAGUUUAAAAAAGAAUUGAAAAUAGGGACACUGAUUACGCCUAAGCAAACGGUGGAGUUAAGUGCUUUACUACAUGAGUACUCAGAUGUUUUUGCUUGGUCUUAUAAGGAUAUGCCUGGUUUGAAUACAAAUAUCGUGGUACAUAAGAUCCCAUUAGAGGAAGGGUGUAAACCAGUCAAACAGAAGUUGAGAAGAGCACACCCGGAGACAUGGAUCAAAGUGAAAGCGGAACUUGAGAAACAGUGGAAUGCUGGAUUCCUAGAAGUUGUUACAUACCCGCAGUGGGUAUCCAACAUUGUUGUCGUACCAAAAAAGGAAGGGAAAAUUAGGGUUUGUGUGGACUUCCGGGAUUUGAACAAAGCUAGCCCUAAAGAUGAUUUUCCAUUACCUCACAUAGAUAUUUUAGUGGACAAUGCUGCCCGUAGUUCCACUUAUUCCUUUAUGGAUGGUUUCUCAGGAUACAACCAGAUAAAGAUGGCUAUAGAAGACAGGGCAAAAACGACGUUUGUCACCCCUUGGGGAACCUACUGCUACAAGGUUAUGCCGUUCGGUUUAAAGAACGCAGGUGCCACCUAUCAAAGAGCUAUGGUGACUUUAUUCCAUGAUAUGAUGCAUAAAGAAAUCGAGGUGUAUGUGGAUGAUAUGAUUGCCAAGUCAAAAGAGGGAGAAGAUCAUGUCAAGGUGUUGAGGAAGUUAUUUGAGAGAUUGAGAAAGUAUGAAUUAAGACUCAAUCCUGCAAAAUGUUCAUUUGGGGUUAAGUCCGGCAAGCUGCUGGGAUUUGUAGUCAGUGGGAAAGGUAUAGAGGUGGAUCCUGAUAAAGCAAAAGCCAUCCAAUCCAUGCCAACCCCAAAGUCAGAGAAAGAGGUGAGGGGAUUUUUGGGCAGGCUGAACUAUAUUGCCCGAUUCAUAGCCCAGUUAACUACCACAUGUGAACCUAUCUUUCGAUUGCUGAGGAAAAAGAAUCCUGGGACUUGGAAUGAGGAGUGUGAAGAGGCAUUCAAUAAAAUCAAGUGUUAUUUGCAAAAUCCACCAUUACUUGUACCUCCUACGUUAGGAAGGCCUUUACUAUUGUAUCUGACAGUAACAGAAACAGCUAUGGGAUGUGUACUUGGACAGCAUGAUGAAACCGGGAGGAAAGAAAGGGCUAUCUAUUAUCUAAGUAAAAAGUUCACUGAAUGUGAGUCUCGAUACACGGUAAUAGAAAAACUAUGUUGUGCAUUGGGAUGGGCAGCAAAACGAUUACGACAUUAUAUGUUAUAUCACACCACUUGGUUGAUUUCACAAGUGGAUCCAUUGAGGUACAUAUGUAACAAGCCCUAUCUCUCCAGCCGCAUUGCAAGGUGGCAGGUUUUGCUAUCAGAAUAUGAUAUCGUAUAUAUGACACGAAAAGCUGUGAAGGGGAGCGUGAUUGCUGACCACUUAGCUGAUAAUGCUAUUGAAGAUUACGAGCCACUGGAUUUUGAUUUUCCGGAUGAAAAUUUAUUAUCAAUAGAGAGAGAAGAAGAGAUGACAGAUUGGUGGACUAUGUUUUUUGACGGAGCAGUGAAUGUAUAUGGUAAUGGGGCCGGUGCAGUGAUAGUCUCUCCUGAUCAAAAGUUGUAUCCAGUUUCAGUUAAAUUGCAUUUUGAAUGCACCAACAAUACAGCUGAAUAUGAAGCUUGCAUUCUUGGUUUAGAAGAUGCAUUAGAGAUGAAGAUUAAAAAGCUGGAUGUAUAUGGUGACUCAAUGUUGAUUAUCUGUCAGGUGAAGGGAGAAUGGCAAACCAAGGAAGAAAAGUUAAAGCCUUACCAGGAAUACUUGUCUUCACUAUUAGGCAACUUCGAAGAGAUAAAGUUCACUCACUUGGGAAGAGAAGGGAACCAUUUUGCAGAUGCUUUGGCUACCUUAGCUGCUAUGGCCACCAUUGAUCUCGGGCAUAGGGUACAACCAGUACACAUUGACAUUAGAAAUAAUCCAGCUUACUGUUACUCCAUUGAAGAAGAAAUAGAUGGGAAGCCUUGGUAUUACGAUAUCAAAAACUUCGUGCAAAAGCAAGAAUAUCCAGAGGAAGCUUCGAAGACGGAGAGAUUAUGUAUAAAAGAUCAUUUGAUGGAACCUUGCUAAGGUGUUUAAGUGAAACAGAUGUUAGAAAGGCUUUGCAAGAGGUUCAUGAAGGGAUUUGCUCAACUCAUGCUAAUGGACAUAUGAUGGCAAGGAAAAUACAAAGGGCUGGUUAUUUCUGGAUGACAUUAGAAAAAGACUGCAUUGACUACGUUAAAACAUGUCACAAGUGCCAGGUGCAUAGUGAUAGAGUCAACGCACCUCCGACCCCUUUGUUUAAUCUGGUAUCUCCCUGGCCGUUUGCAAUGUGGGGACUUGAUGUGAUCGGGCCUGUUAACCCAAAAGCCAGCAAUGGGCACAGAUUCAUCCUUGUAGCCAUUGAUUAUUUCACGAAAUGGGUAGAAGCCUGUUCCUACGCUCAUGUGACUCAGAAGGUGGUAAAGAGGUUCAUAGAGAAAGACUUGAUUUGUCGUUAUGGGGUGCCAGAAAAGAUAGUGACUGAUAAUGCUCAGAAUUUCAAUGGCAAAAUGAUAGCAGAGCUUUGUACUAAAUGGAAGAUCAAACAUUCAAAUUCCUCACCAUAUAGGCCAAAGAUGAAUGGGGCCGUGGAAGCAGCCAAUAAGAACAUCAAGAAAAUCGUUCAAAAAAUGGUAGUCACCUAUAAAGAUUGGCACGAGAUGUUGUCAUUUGCUCUCCAUGCAUAUCGUACUACAAUAAGAACCUCGACUGGAGCAACCCCAUAUUCGUUGGUAUAUGGAAUGGAGGCAGUAAUGCCGUUGGAAGUUGACAUCCCAUCAUUAAGGGUGUUGAUAGAUUCUGAAUUACAAGAGGCUGAUUGGGCCAAGGUGAGAUAUGAGCAGUUAAACUUGAUCAGUGAAAGGAGGAUAGCCGCAAUCUGUCAUCACCAGCUUUACCAGAAAAGGAUGGCCAAGGCAUAUGACAAGAAAGUUAGACCUCGUGUGUUCCAAGAAGGAGAUCUAGUGCUGAAGAAAUUAAUGUCUCUGCCGGGAGAAGAUCGCAGCAAAUGGGCUCCAAAUUAUGAAGGUCCCUAUGUAGUAAGGAAGGCUUUCUCAGGAGGAGCUCUGAAAUUAUCCAGAAUGGAUGGAGAAGAUCUAGCUAGACCUGUGAAUUCUGACUCUGUAAAGAGAUAUUAUGUCUAAAUAUGUUCAGUUUUCCCUUGAAAUCAAUAAAGUAAAGUUUGGCCAUGAUUUCUUUGUAUAAAGAACCCUGUCAUUGCAUUAAUCUCACCAUACUCAGAUUGUGCAUCUUAAACGAACUGAUUUUGUGCAUGAUUACAAGAAAUGCAUCAUAUAGUGCUCAAAGAUGAAAUUUAAGCAGUUCCUAUUAAAGAAGUGACCAAACCGAAAUAAACCUCAAAGCUAACCCUGAGAUAAAACUUUGUCUUUACUAGCAUUAUUUGUUUUUACAUGGAUGAAUGGUUAGUUAACCAUCUCUGUAAUCAUACAUAUUUUUUGUGGGAUAAGAACAAGGUUUAUCAAACUUAACAAUGUGCGUUUUGAGAUGAGGAAAGGCCAUCUUUGUCAUCCAUUCACGUUUCUAAAUAAUUUCAUCCUUCGUAAUCCCUAUUUGAGCUGGAUCGUUUUUUUAUUAUCACAACCCUGACUAGGAUCACACCCCACACUGGGGGCAAAUAAGAGGUAUUGAGAAGAUACUAAUAGAAUCAAUAGGAAAGGGAAAGUUUCAAGACAAAGAUUAACGAUGAAAAAAAAAAAAAAAAAGAGACCGACUAGAGGGUAGAAAAUAUUGAUACUAAUAUCGAACCCAAGACUAUCCAAACAAAGCAGUGAAAAGGGAUGCUAGAAUUGCCCAUUUAAUAUUUGGUCUCUUAUUAUCAUCCAGACAAAGCAGUGAAGAUAGAUGAGGAGAUUUGGUUAUGUCUCAGUUAGCAGACACAACAAAGGCACUAAAGGCAACAUUCUAAAAAAAAAACAAAAAGAGAGAGAACAAUUACAAACUGUUGGGUUUUGGUAUCAAGAACGGAAUCGUCAAAUGACUUUCAAAGAUGAUUGAUGAAUAGUUGAUCCUAGAUCAUUAAAACCCUUAAACACUUUUUGAGACCAUGAAAUUCGUUUUUUUUUAGCCCAUACCUAUAGCCUACAUUACAAGCCGUUAAAAGUCCUUUCUAAUCAAGUGCAUGUAACUUGGUUUGAUAAACUUUGAUCUCAUGACCCACAUGGUUUGAUAUAGUAUGGGAAUUUGCUGUGCUCUAUGCAAAACAAACAAUGCUAGUAUGAGACAAUUGCUUUUAUAUAUACAACUUUUUCAAGUCUAUGCUUGAACCCUUUUCAAAAGAUUAAGCAGAAGGUCACUUUUGAAAAAAUAUAAAUAAAAAUGAAGAGCUUAACCUAAAGACAACAACAUCCUAAAACCCGAGAAAACUAGUAUUGGGAAUUGCUUAAACAAGUCUUUAGUGUGUAUGUUGACAGUACUUGUAGUCAUAAACAAGUUCAAGUUUGUUUCGUGUUGUUAAAGAUUCCUUUUCUUUAGGCAACCCUAUCCUUUUCUAUUAUGUCAGACAAAGAAAAAAAAAACAAAAAAAACAAAAAAAAACAAAAACAAAACACAAAAAAAAACAACAACAACCCUUUAUUUUGAGAAAAGACAAAAAAACAUUGGCAAAAAAGAAGGUGAUAGGGCACCUAGUGAAGAAGUGGAGAUUGUUUCUUUAAAAUGUAAUGGAUAAGAAAAAGACAGUGCAAGAAACACAUACCAACAAAUUACAAAAAAACACAAGACAAGCUCAUACAAAGGAAAGGGAACCUCAGGGACCUAUGUUUCAAUUCAGGUAAGAGGUGCAUGCAUUAGCAUUACAUUUUAGACCAUUGCAUGCACAAUUUGUUUUGUUUACUUGCUUACGGAAAAUAUCUAAGUGAAGGUCCAACGAGUUUGUGGACGCUUGACCACACUUCAUUUUCAUUCCACCUGGGUAGGUCACUCAUUACAAUGAGACAGUUUUGAGUAAGGGAUUCACCACAUCAGGUCAACUAAGCUACACAGGUUUUUUGGUUCUGGUUAGAGGGGAUUGCCGAAAGGAAUCUCAGUCUAUCCCAACCAUACAUAGGUAUUUUGGUUCUGGUUAGAGGGGAUUGCCGAAAGGAAUCUCAGUCUAUCCCAACCACACAUAGUUUUUUUUGGUUCUGGUUAGAGGGGAUUGCCGAAAGGAAUCUCAGUCUAUCCCAACCAUACACAGGAUUUUGGUUCUGGUUAGAGGGGAUUGCCGAAAGGAAUCUCAGUCUAUCCCAACCACGCAGGAUUUGGUUCUGGUUAGAGGGAUUGCCGAAAGGAAUCUCAGUCUAUCCCAACCACACACAGGAUUUUGGUUCUGGUUAGAGGGGAUUGCCGAAAGGAAUCUCAGUCUAUCCCAACCACACACAGGAUUUUGGUUCUGGUUAGAGGGGAUUGCCGAAAGGAAUCUCAGUCUAUCCCAACCACACACAGGAUUUUGGUUCUGGUUAGAGGGGAUUGCCGAAAGGAAUCUCAGUCUAUCCCAACCACACAUAGGAUUUGGUUCUGGUUAGAGGUGAUUGCCGAAAGGAAUCUCAGUCUAUCCCAACCACAACAGGAUUUUGGUUCUGGUUAGAGGGAUUGCCGAAAGGAAUCUCAGUCUAUCCCAACCACACACAGGAUUUUGGUUCUGGUUAGAGGGGAUUGCCGAAAGGAAUCUCAGUCUAUCCCAACCACACAUAGGAUUUGGUUCUGGUUAGAGGUGAUUGCCGAAAGGAAUCUCAGUCUAUCCCAACCACACACAGGAUUUUGGUUCUGGUUAGAGGGGAUUGCCGAAAGGAAUCUCAGUCUAUCCCAACCACACACAGGAUUUUGGUUCUGGUUAGAGGGGAUUGCCGAAAGGAAUCUCAGUCUAUCCCAACCACACACAGGAUUUUGGUUCUGGUUAGAGGGGAUUGCCGAAAGGAAUCUCAGUCUAUCCCAACCACACACAGGAUUUUGGUUCUGGUUAGAGGGGAUUACCGAAAGGAAUCUCAGUCUAUCCCAACCACACAUAGGAUUUUGGUUCUGGUUAGAGGUGAUUGCCGAAAGGAAUCUCAGUCUAUCCCAACCAUACGCAGGUUUUGGUUCUAGUUAGAGGGGAUUAGCGAAAGGAAUCUCAGUCUAUCUUCACCAUACACAGAGUUUUGUUUUUUAGUCAGAGAGGAUUGGUGAAAGGAAUCUCAAGAAGCCCAACCGCACAUAAUGUUUUGCUUUGAUACAAAGAAUAGCCGAAUGGGUUUUCAAGCCAGUCAAGUUGGAGGAGAGUGGUGUCGAAAAUUUGGUUUUGUCUAUCUUUAUAACACUUACUAUGCAAAAUCAUUGCUCCGUAAGUAUUAUAAAGAGGGGGCAUCUGUUGUAACUCAUUUUUGGGUCUUCACCUAAAAAAUACAAAAAUUCAAAAAAAUAUAUUAUAAAAAAUAUAACAAUGAAAAAAAAAUGUCAAGCGCCUUAAAAAUAUUCAAAAAUUGAUUAGGAUGUUCAAAAAAAUUAAAAUUAAAAUUUGACAGUAUAUCAUUGACUGAUGCGAGCCCCAUGAUAAAGAAAAUUCAAUUUGAGGAAGAAAAAUGCAAAAUUAGAAGUUUAUGGACUCAAUUAAAUUUUAUUGAAGGUUUAAUUGAAUUUAUAGAGGUUUUAAUUGCAAAAACAAUUGAUUUUGGAGUUAUUUUGGGCUUUAAUUGGAAGAAAUUAAUUUUCUGGGGUCAAAUUAUAAUUUUUGGAAGUUAAUUUGGUCAAAUCAGGGGCUUAAUUGCAUAAAAAUGAAGUUUAAUGGGCAAUUAGGGACUAAAUUGAAGAAAUCCGAGACCAAGGACGAAAUUGUAAAACGCGCGCAAUUUGAGGGCCUUCUUUGAAAUCUGACGCAUUUUGGCGCCUUUUUCUUUUAAAUGAAACGGCGCGUUUUGACCAAAACGGCGCCGUUUCAUUCACUGUUGCAAAAAAAAAAAAAAAAAAAAAAACAGAAGCCCAAAACGGCGCCGUUUUGACGGCACUGUAGGUCUUCUUCUUCCCCUGGACGCGCGAGGCAGGGGAAGAAGAAGAUUUUUCUUCUCCCUUUUCGCCUAACUUCUUUCCCUAUUUUACGCAAUAAGACGCCCACCAUUCGACGCCCACUUGCCUCCUUUUUAUCCGUUGAACGGAUAGUGGAGGGGCGGCCAACAGUGGCCGCCCCACCACCAUUCCCCCCUGUUUUUGCCUAUAAAAACAGGGGAGGACCGAAGAAAAAAAAAGAAAAAAAGAGAGGAGAAGGGAAGGAUUGACGAAGAAAGAGGUAGAGAGAGACGAGAGAAACAGAAAAAAAAAGAAAAAAAAAAGAAGGAAGAGAUUCAGCAGAGAAGAGAACAAAAACAGAGGAGAGAGAGAGAAGGAAAACCACCGGCCACCGUGCCUCCGCCGCCAGCAACACCGCCUCGACGCCACCGCAGGUACACCAUCUCGUUGCCCCGCCUCUGCCACGCUUUGUUUAUGAUCUGCUGCGCCUUCAUGCAGAACGUGAAUUAAUUCACGUUCUGCAAAUAACGAAGGGCUGGUUACUGUGCUGAUGCACAGUAACCAGCCCGUUUGGGCCUGGGCUGGGCCGUCGGCCCAGCCCAUGUAAAUAGGCUUGGUCGGCCCGGCCCAUGCAUUUGGGCUGGGUCCGGCCCAUUUUUAUUUUUUUCUUUUAUUUUUUUUAUUUUUUUAUUUUUUGUUUGUUAUAAUUUAUUUAUAUUUAUUUUUUAAAUAUCGUCUUUAUUUUACAUCGUAAAAAUAUAAAUCCGGUAUUAAAAUACCCCGUUUUCGUCCCGUGGUACUGUUCACCCGACCAUUAAUUUACAAAAUCAUCAAAAAUAUUUUUUUUCAUUUAUAAUUUUUCCGCAUAGUUUUUAUGUCAUUUGGAUUAAUAUCACACAAUAUUUUUAUGUCGUAAAAUACAAAUCCGGUACUGAAAUACCCGGUUUUCGACUUUCAAGAAUUCAAAAACAAAUUAACAAAAAAAAUGUUUUUGUGCAUACGGCCAAAUGUCUCAAAAAAAAAAAUCAUUUUGUAUUUUUCAUACAAAAAAAAAAACAAUGUUUUAGCAUGCAUUUUGACUUUAAUAACCAGUUUAUUAAAGUCAAGAGAAUAUUGGCCAAAAUUUCAAAAACAACAAAAAAAUUUAUUUUGUUUAUCUUUUAAUAUCCGGGGUAUGACAUUAUACGUAAUACAUAUUCCAGAUAUUUAAUUUAUUAUUAUAUUUUUUUAAUAGAACUUGGGAUAUGACAUUACAUGUAAUGCGUAUUCCGAACAAUAAUAAUAAAAAAAAACCACAAACACGACCUUAGAUUUUAUCAGACAUUAAAACAAUGCAGCCUACCUUAGGUAGGGCGUAGUUGGGGUGCUAAUACCUUCCCUUUACGCAACCAGUCUCCGUACCCGAUCUCUAAAGACCAGUUAAGGUUCCUAGUAACCAGAAUACUAGGUGGCGACUCCCAGUCCAUUUUUUUUUACAUAUAGAGACAAGAAUUCCUUGUCUCUCCUUAUGUUCCAGGAAUAAAUAUUCCGAUUUUUCCUUGAGGGUGGACGAUCGCCAUCGCCGCGGCGCCGCACACGUGUGACACUCCUUAUGCUCCACCUCCUAGAAGAAAUUUUGAGGAAACAUUGCAUGAAUUCAUUGAAAAGCAAGAGAUAAUCAACAGUCAACUUGCUCAAGGCAUGACAGAUUUUAAAGAUACUCUUGCAAAGUUAACAUCUGCUCUCAUUUUUCAAGAGAAAGGUAAGUUUCCAUCUCAACCACAACAAUAUCCAAAAAGGCAAUACAAUGCAAAUGCAAGUAGUUCUGGAAGUCAACACAUGGAUCAAGUCAAAUCAAUCAUCACUCUUCGUAGUGGUAAGGUUAUUGAAAAACCCACUCUUGAACCUAGUAAGAAAGAUGAUGAGUUAAUCUCUAAAGGUAAGGAAGGGGUUAAAUCUGAACAUUGUAAAGAAAAGACUAAUUUUCCGUCAGCACUUCCAUUUCCUCAUGCCAUGACCAAACAAAGAAAAGUCAAUCACAAUUCUAAAAUCCUUGAAACUUUCAAACAAGUAAGGAUCAAUAUACCUUUGUUGGAUGCUAUUAAAGAGGUAACUUUCUAUGCUAAAUUUUUGAAAGAUCUAUGCACUAUAAAGAUAAAACUAAAUGUGAAAAAGAAAACAUUUUUAGCCGAACAAGUAAGUGCUAUUCUUCAUAACAAUAAUGCUUUGAAAUAUAAGGACCCUGGUUGUCCUACAAUUUCUUGCUUUAUUGGAGAACAUAAAAUUGAAAGAGCUUUACUUGAUCUUGGAGCUAGUGUGAAUUUACUUCCAUAUUCGGUUUUUCAAAGUCUCAAUCUAGGUGAGUUGAAACCAACUUCUGUAAGUCUUUUACUUGCUGAUAGAUAUGUAAAAGUACCUAGAGGAAUAGUUGAGGAUGUGUUAGUAUAAGUUGAUAAAUUCAUUUACCCUAUAGAUUUUGUUGUCUUGGAUACACAACAUGUUGAAGCAUAUAAUUCAAUUCCUGUUAUUUUAGGACGUCCAUUUCUUGCAACUUCUAAUGCAUUGAUUAAUUAUAGAAAUGGACUGAUGAAGCUAUCAGUUGAAAACAUGACAUUGAAGAUGAAUAUUUUCAAUAUUUGCAAGAAACCUGGAGAUGAUAAUGAUUUACAAGAAGUGGACUUUAUUGAAAAAUUAGUUCAUGAUCAAUUUCAAACCACUUCUAGUGAAACUGAGAUUGAUGAACCUGACGAGUUGAAAAUGGUCUAUUUUCAGGAAGAAACGAAGGCAUGUAAUUGGAGAUCACAAAUUGAAGAAUUGCCACCACGAUCAAUUGAGUCCAUACCUUCAAGUGUUCAACCACUAAAACCUAAUUUGAAGUCGUUACCAUUCAAUCUCAAAUACUCAUUUUUGGGAGAAAAUAAAACUUUUACGGUAAUAAUCUCUUCCAAACUUAAUGCACAUCAAGAAGGUAAGUUAUUACAAACUCUGAAAAUGCACAAUAAUACAUUAGGAUGGACCAUAGCUGACAUAAAAGGAAUUAGUCCUUUGAUUUGCAUACACAUGAUUUAUUUGGAGGAAAAUGUUAAACCCUCUAGAGAAAUGCAACGAAGACUUAAUCCUAAUAUGAAAGAAAUAGUGAAAAAUGAAGUCAUUAAGCUUCUAGAUAAUGGAUUCAUUUAUCCUAUUUCUGACAGCAAAUGGGUAAGUCCUACCUAAGUUGUACCCAAAAAGUCUGGAGUCACUGUGAUAACAAAUGAGAAAAAUGAGUUAAUUCCAACUCGGACUAUUACUAGUUGGCGCAUGUGCAUUGACUAUAGAAAACUUAAUUCAAUGACUAGAAAAGAUAAUUUCCCUUACCUUUCAUGGAUCAAAUCCUAGAAAGAGUUGCAAAUCAUGAAUUUUACUGUUUCCUAGAUGGCUAUUUAGGUUACAACCAAAUUGAAAUUGCAUUGGAAGAUCAAGAGAAGUUUCACAUGUCCAUUUGGUACUUUUGCAUAUCAAAGAAUGCUUUUUGGAUUAUGUAAUGCACCAGCCACAUUUCAAAGAUGCAUGCUUAGCAUAUUCAGUGAUAUAGUUGAACGUUUUCGUGUGAUUUUUAUGGAUGAUUUUUUUGUUUUUGGUGAUUCAUUUGAUGAUUGUUUAACCAACUUGGAAAAGGUUUUGAACAUGUGUGAAGAGAAGAAUCUUGUACUGAAUUGGGAAAAAUGUCACUUUAUGGUAACAAACAACAUUGUACUUGCUCUCUCUCUUUAUAUAUAUUUUUUGUAAUUCUUAAGUUUUGCUUUCAUUAAUAUCUUGUUUAUGCUUUUCAUUUCCUUUCCUUUAUUUAGUUAACUUGUAUCUUGUUUAUGUUCUUAUUUUGUUUAUUUAUGUUUCUCUCUUCAUUAUGUUUAGCUAAGAUUAUUAUGUCAAGGUGAAAAUGUUACACUAAUGGUGUAAGAAUAAGUAUGGUGUAAACUCAACAUGGACCUUAAUGUUUAAUAUUAACAUGUCUUAUCUUUUUAUCUUACUAAUUCUUAAUAUCUUGCUUGUUAAAUGGUUAAUCUAGAUUGUGCUGUAUAACACUUGGUACAAGAAAUGCUUGGCACUCUUAUAGCCUAACCGUAUGGUAUUACCUACACCUAUGCUAUGAAUGGAACUUGAUUUGUUGUUAACAUAAGUUAGCAUCAUGAAUUUCUGAUAAUAUUUAAAAGUUUGGUGUUACGUAAAUAAGAUAAUUAAUAUGAUCAUGUUAUCAAUUUAUAAUGAGCUAUUAAAGACAAAUCAUCCGAUUGGAACCUCUUUUGUGUGUGGUUUCCAGUUGGGUAAUAAGAGUUUAUACUAUACUUGUUUGAAAUACCAUUAGUGGAUCUUCUAACCUUGACAUUUGUUUUUAUUAUUGUUUGAUCCUUACAUUAAUCCAUCUGAAAGUUCUCAUCAACUUCUUUAUUAUUAUUGUUGUUGUUGUAUUAUUAUUAUUAUUGUUUAUAAUUUAUAUAAUUAACCUCCCUAUGGUUCGACCCCGGUCUUGCCGGGUUAUUUAUUACUUUGACACUCCUGCACUUGGGAGAAGACAUCAAUUAUUUGGUCGUGUCAAUGAGGUUAUCGAACUGCAAUAUCAUAGCGUGUAGAAUAAAGUGUUUUUAGUCAAAUGUUAUUGGUAUGACACAAUUGACAGAGGAAUCAUAGUAGAUCCUCAAUAUGGUCUCGUUAAAAUCAACUCAAAAUCUAGACACCGCAAUGUAAACGAUGUCUUUCUUUUCGCAAAGCAAUGCCAACAAGUUUAUUACACAUACACCCCUUCCUUUAGAAAGGAUCGAUCAUGAGUUGAUUGGUUAUCCAUUUUAAAAACAAAACCAAGGGGUCGUGUCGAGGUUGCUUAGGAUGAGAACGAAGACACAAGUGUGAUAGAUGAAGUCUUUCAAGCUAGUGAGUUGAUUGAACCAUACCGAGUUGCUUCUUUGAUUGAUUUAGAAGAAAAUUUGAAUUUUCGUGUUUUCAACGAUAGUCUUAUUGAUGUUGACGUAGAGGAGUUCAAUGUUGUUUUGAGCUCUAUAGAACAUGAUAACCACAUUGAAUAGUGCGAUAAAGCUGAUGAUAACAAUUCAAUUGAGGAUGAAGAUGAAAAUUCUGACUAAAUAUGCUGUAAAACCUUAUUUUUAUAAUAUAAUAUUAAGGAUGAUAUUUUGGAACAUGAAAUAUUUAUUCUUCUUUAAUUGUCAUCUCUUGUUAUUGCGUUGUGCGUGCUGUAAGUUUGUAAUUCAAGAUUUUGUGUAGGAGGAUAGACACCCAUAUAAACAGAAGCUGCAAAAAUAUUGAUAGUUUUACCGACAGCCUGGAACCUGUCGGUAUUAUACUGAGAGUUGAAAAAAAUUUAUAGCAUUUUGCCACAAUGACUAACGGGUAUACCGACUGACUGGUGCCCGUCAAUAUUUGACCAAGAGUUGCAAAAAAAUUACAGCCCCUACUAUACACAUCGAUGGAUAUACUGACAGAUUCAUCGACGAUUGGUGCACUUCCUGAAGUGCACGCCUGUCAGACCGCCUGGUCGGGCGGCACAAUUACCGAAGGAUUUGCUGACAGACGCGGCAAAUCCAAUGGGCUCGUGCUUUGACAUAUGUUUCCUAACGAACCAAAACAUUUUGGCAGGAUUUUCAAAAUUUUUAGAGCGGAUAUCAAUUAAUUACCGACGGAAUUUAAUGCCACCGCCCAACAAAAAUAUCAUUCACUAUUCCAUCGAUAAUUUUGUCGAAAACAUUGUAAUAUAAAACCCCCCCGCCUAGUUCAUUUUUUCUCGGCUCUUCAUUUCUAUUUCUCUUCUCCUCUCCGUUUGUUUUAAGUGUUUGCAAGAGGUUUUAUUGUUUUGCUGGUAGUUUUCAACAUAUUAAAAGGUAUGUAUUUUUCUUUUUUUAUCUUGUAUUUUUUAAUUUUUUUUUAAUUAUGAUUACUUUUUGGUGUUCUUUGUUUUGUGUAUUGUUUGGAACUAGGCCAUCGGUAUUUUUACCGAGAGUUGCAAAAUUAUUACCACCCAUGCCACAAUCACCGACGGAUAUAUUCCGUCGGUAUUUACUAUUGCUAUUACCAACAAAAUAUAUCUGUCGAUAUUUGUCAGAGAGUUUUGAAAUAUUUACUGCCAUGCCAAAAUCACCAACGGAAUAUCCAUUAGUGAUUACCGUUGAAAAUACAUACGAAAUUAUUCUGUCUAUAAUAUUCACGCGGGAUUUUUUUUGGGGCGCUUCACUGUCUGUAAUACCGUCGGUGUUCCAUCGUUGUUUUGUUUUUUUAAUUACUGAUAAAAUUGGCGACGGAAUGGGAAAUUACUGACGAUCAAAAUUCUGACGGGCGGAUGUCACUGAGGUUGUCGGUAAAAAUAUCAUUGACGGUUUAUGUGCCUCAUACCGACGGAAUGAAUCCGUCGAUAAAAUUGUUUAAUGGUUUAGUGUGAUGAAUGAUUUUAUAUUAUUCUCCAACAUGUCUUUUAAAAUGAAAGUUUCUGGAGUUUUAAAAUUUAUAUGGGUUUAAUAAUAUUUAUGUUUAGUUUUUUUUUUAAUUUACAUGGAGAAGAAUGUUGAUUGUGGUGAUAUUAAAACUUUUAUGGCUUAGUCAUUAAAACUCUGACAUCAUAAAAAAAAUCAUCUUAAGUAAAAAUUUAAGUUAAUAAAUUAAGUUUAAUAAAUGAUUUUAUAAAUAUUAUUUUUUGACAAAUAAACUUUCCAUAUAAAUAAAUGAUUUUAUAAAUAUUAUUUUUUGACAAAUAAACUUUCCAUAUAAAUAAAUGAUUUUAUAAAUAUUAUUUUUUGACAAAUAAACUUUCCAUAUAAUCAUCUUUGAGAUUUGAAUUUUAGAAGUGGUAGUUGAGAAUAAUGGAAUGUGUUGGGUUGUGCCUUAGCCAUCCUUCCUAUUUAUAUAGAGGCAGCAGAACACUGCAGUAACUAUAGGGAUUACAACAUCCUAUUUUAAUUUCAUAUUCUGAUAGAUACAUGAGUAACUGUAGGGAUUACAACAUCCUAUAUUAAUUUUCUAUUCUAAUAGAUACAUGAUAUACAUUCUAUACUAUGCCCCCUUAAGCUGAGGGUGGGGGAUCAACUCGAAGCUUGAACCAAAAAGUAGUAAAUGAUGCAACAGGAAGCGGUUUAGUGAAGACAUCGGCACAUUGAUCCCGAGAGGGAACAAAACGAAUUUAAAUUUCUUUCUUGGCAACACGGUCAUGGAAAAAGUGAUAAUCCACUUCAACAUGCUUAGUACGAGCAUGAAAGAUAGGAUUUGCUAAGAGAUAGGUAGCACCAAGAUUAUCACACCAAAUGGUAGGAGCAGAGACUAAGGGAACAUGCAAAUCUGUUAACAAGUAUUGAAGCCAAAUGACUUUAGCGGUACCAUCAGCAAGGGCUUUAUACUCAGACUCAGUAGAGGAGCGAGCAACAGUGCGUUGCUUGCCGGAUUUCCAAGAAAUCGGUGUGUGACCAAAAAAGACAAGAUAGCUGCCCGUAGACUUGCGAUCGUCAAUACUACUAGCCCAAUUUGCAUCUGUAAAGCCAUGUAGAGCAAAAGAGGAGCCUCGAGUGAUAUGGAAACCAUAAGAUGAUGUACCUUUAAGAUAGCGUAAAAUACGUUUGAUAGCGGCCCAAUGAGAAUCUGUAUGAGCAAGCAUGAACUGACAGACUCUGUUAACAGCAAAGCAUAUAUCUGGACGGGUACAGGUAAGAUAUUGAAGAGCACCCACGAUUUAAGGAAAUCGUGUAGGAUCAGAGAAUGAAUGAUCCGGUAAUAAAAUGACUUUUGAAGGGGAGACUAGAGUAUCAACUGGUUUGCAGGAAGUCAUACCAGCUCAGGUGAGGAUGUCAAGAAUAUUUUUAUGUUGACGCAGCAUUAAACCCAUACCGGUAGACUGAACUUCAAUACCCAGAAAAUAGUGAACAACACCUAAGUCACGAAGCUUGAACUCAGAGCUGAGUAACUGUAUAAGGUGAUGGAGCAUAGCAGCAUUGCUACCCGUGAGCAGAAUAUCAUCAACAUACACCAGAAGAUAAAAGAUAUUAGUACCAUCAGAUAAGAUAAACAGGGAGGUGUCAACCUUGGAAGCUCGAAAACCAAUGGAGAGCAAAAAAUCACUUAGACGAGUGUACCAUGCUCUAGGUGCCUGUUUCAAACCAUACAAUGAUUUGUGUAAUCUGCACACAUGAGAUGGAAGAGAAGAGUCAACGAAACCUAGAGGUUGUUUCAUGUAGACCUCUUUACUAAGAACACCAUUGAGGAAGACAUUAUGAAUAUCAAGCUGAUGAAUCUCCAAUUUCACGAAACCGCGAUAGAGAAAACCAAUUGGACAGUGGCCUGCUUAAUAACUAGACUGAAGGUUUCAGAAUAAUCAAUACCUUCUUGCUGGGUAAAACCUCUAGCAACAAGGCGCGCUUUAUAGCGCUCAAUACUACCAUCAACACGAUGUUUGAUCCAAUAUACCCAUCUAUUGCCAACAACGUUCAUCGAAGGAUAAAAUGGAACCAAAGACCAAAUGUGACUUUCGCGUAAAGUGGCGAUCUCAUCACUCAUAGCAUUAUGCCAAACUGCAUACCGGUCAGCAUCAGAGAAUGCAAAAGGCUCAGAAGAGGGAGAAUAUAGCACCCGUAUAGAGGUAGAAGUAGCGGCAGCGGAAGCAACCAGAUUAGUUGUCUUUGGCUGUCGCGGUCUAAAAGUCAUAGGAUGUUUGUUGUGUGCUAGUGGAGAUGUAGCGGAAGACGGUUGUAGCGAGGAGACCUGUGGCAGCUGAUAAGAAGACAAAUCAACCAUAAGUUGCAGACCAGCGAGAGAGGAUGAUAAAGAAGCAGCCUCAAGCAUAGGACUGUCAGCAGAGGAGGGGCUAAAAGCAGAGACUGAAGCUGCAGAAGUGCUGGCCAGGGAGGGCGAAGUAGAGGAGGGACUAGAAAGUUCCCCAAGACCAUGAGGAGAGGAGACCAAUUGACGAUCUGAACCUGCAUCAUAAAGGUUAGAUAAACAAGCAUGGGAUGAUGGCCAAGGGAUGGGUGGAGGUUGUGGUCAGGUGGCUGUUUGGAGUGGCAGAGCGGAGUAUUGUGGGCUGUUUGGGUGGCUGGUGAAAGUGGGUGGCGGUCGAUGGUGUAGCAAAUUUGGGAGGGUGACAGUAGCGGGUGGGGUAAGGGUUGUGGCGGAGGCCUUUGCAAUCUAUUAAGAAUUAUCAAAUGGAAACACAUGUUCAUGGAAGCGGACAUGACGGGAAAUAUAAAUACGAUGAGAUGCAAUGUCAAGACAUCGAUAACCAAGAUGUGAGGAACUAUAUCCAAAAAACACACAUGGAGAGGAAUAAAAAUCCAAUUUAUGAUUAUUAUAUGGACGGAGAAAAGGAAAAUAGAGACACCCAAAGGUACGCAAAAAAUGAUAAUCAGAAGAUGAUGAAUACUAAUGGUCUAAAAAAAUAUGGAUAGUUUUCGGUAUUCACCGCCCCAAUCAGUUUGAACAAAUUUUAUUUUUAAUGAAAAUUAACGUUCGACAAGAGUUUGAAAUUGAUGAAAAACAGAGUAAACAUCAGACUUGGCAAUGAGAGGAUAAUACCAUACAUAUUUAGUAUAAGCAUCAACAAAGAUAACAAAAUAACGAUAGCCAUCUGAAGAAAAAAGAGGAGCAGGGCCCCAUACAUCACUAAAAAUUAAUUCAAGUGGAGCAGAAGUUUUGUGACCCGUAGGUCCUAAAGACAAACGCGAUGAUUUUCCUAAAGGACAACUUUGACAUUGAAAAUUAAGACGUUUGUUGUUACAAAUGAUCUUAUUUUUCGAGAUUAACAAUUGAAAAAUACGUGAAGUAGGAUGACCUAGUCGACGAUGCCAUAAAUCGGCAGAGGCAGAAGUGCAGGGAGACCAAUAGGCUUGAGGAACUGACGUGACGGAAGACUUGGUCAGGGCAUAGAGACCAUCUUUACUCUGACCUGAGAGAAGGACUUCAUGGGUGUUGAAAUCCUUGACAUAAAACACACGAGGGUGAAAUUCAAAAUAAACAUUAUUAUCAAGACAAAAUUUCUGAACAGAGAGCAGAGGUUUCGUGAUUGCAGGAACAUGAAGAACAUUAGAUAAGGUGAAAGAACGAUGUGGUGUAUAUAUUUUUGUAUGACCAAGAUGAGAUAUAGGAAGGCCCUUACCAUCACCAACAUGCAAAUUAUCAUUACCAAGAUACGGUUCUGAAGCGGUCAAGGUGGCAAGAUCAGGUGUGAUGUGUUGAUUGGCACCGGUAUCAAUAAACCAAUUAACAGAACCGGUUGAGGAGAGAUUGCGCUGCACCAGGUUGGCAGUAGGUUGUUGGCCAUAACCUCGUUGCUGGAAUUGAGGGCAAUGGGGAGCUGUAUGACCAAAAUUAUGACACAGUUGGCACCAAGAGCCCUGCCUAUUGUCAUCAAAGGAGGAGUUUUGGAAGCUGCGGUGAUCAGGUCUAGAGCCAGCAAAUCGAUUGCCUCUGUUGUUGGACUAGUUGGGACGCCAGCCAUCGUUGAAGCGGCCCCUGCUGUGGCCAAAAUUGCCAAAAGUCUGGCGCUGCGCAAUAAGAGUAGAAGAUGGAAUCCUUGGGUGUGGGCAGCAAAGGAGCAUGUAUGGCAGCAGAAGAUUUGUGAAGAAAUUCAUGUGUGAGGAGAUGGCUGUGAAGAUCUGCAUAUGAUAAAGGUUCAGCCUUGGUAAUAAGACUGGUAACUAAGUCUUUAAACUCUCCCUAAAGACCAUGAAACACAUAUAAAUUGAAAUCUUCAAGCAAAACUGGCUGACCAGCAACGGCCAAUUCAUCAAAUAAGGCCUUCGUUUUUUGCAUAAAUUGAGUUACUAAUUCAUCACCCUGUCGAAGAUCCUGAAGAGAGCCGUGAAGUUGCAUAAUACGAGAGUUGGAGGUGGAAGCGAGAGCUCGCUCAAGAGUGCCCCAAGCUGAACAAGAACUUUGACAGCCAACAACAAGAUGCAAAACUUCCAUAGAUAGGGAGGAAAGAAAAGCACUUAGAAUUAGUUGGUCCUGUUGUUUCCAGGUUUGAAAAAGCGGAUUUACCUGAAGAGAGAUACCAUCAUGGGCAAGAACAUGUGUUGAUGGACAUGUGUUGGAGCCAUCAACAAAACCAAAAACUCCUUGGCCUAGGAGAUAAGGCAGCAUCUGCAUACGCCAAUAUAAAUAAUUGGUGUUUGUUAAUUUGAGGGAGAUGACUUGAUGAGUGUGAGAAAGGGAGAUAAUGCUUGCAGCAGUAAAGGUAGCAAACGUGGGCUGCAAGAGGAGGCGUUCACCAGCCAUGGCAGAGGAGAAUCCAGGCGGUGACGCAACAGAGGAAAGCAGAGGAGGCAUUGCAAGAGAAGAGGGCUGCACUGCCGGAGAAGAAGAAAGAUGGACUGCUGGUGCUGCAGAAUUUGAAGAUGUAUGUGGCGGUUGUUCCAUUGAAGAAGGGAGGUUGGGAGGCUGUGAAAAAAGUAGGUUUAAUUUAUUUUAGGGUUUUGUGGCUCUGAUACCAAGUUGAGAAUAAUGGAAUGUGUUGAAUGGUGCCUUAGCCAACCUUCUUAUUUAUAUAAAGGCAACAGAACACUGCAGUAACUAUAGGGAUUACAACAUCCUAUAUUAAUUUCCUAUUCUGAUAGAUACAUGAGUAACUGUAGUGAUUAUAACAUCCUAUAUUAAUUUUUUAUUCUGAUACAUUCAUGAUAUACAUUCUAUAAUAGUGGUUACUGGAAUAUUAUGUUAUGUAUAUUAAUCUGUAUUUAAAUCAUAGUUUACUUAAGACUUGAUUGGAGAGGAAUUCAAGUGGUGUUUUCGUCCUUUUUUGGUUGAAAGGCAAUGUUUCAGUCAAGUUAAUGCAUGCAUGUUCUAUAAAGCAGCAUAGGCUGGCCUGGUGGUAGGAGUGAUUGAGAUUGCGGCUGGAUUGUGUUUUUAAAAUAACUUGAAUUUUAAAUAAAAAUUUAAUUUUUUUUUAAAUACAGUUUAAAACACGUUCGCAAACUAGCUGAAUUUUCAAGAAUACAUGAUUGCUGAUUCAAACACAUGUUUAUCAUUGCGAAUUAAGGGAGAAAAAAAAAAUAAAAAGAAGAAGAAAACUAGGCUAUGCUUUGGCAAGUAGUACAGCAAGGAAGGAAACCACGCCACGCCACUAAAACCAUGCAUGGACCCAACGAUUAUCCCUUCGGCGUGAUACACGAGCAGAUACAGUAAAACGAAGAGCAAGAAACCAAGAAAAACCCUUAUCUUGAUAUAUUAUGAUAGGAUUUUCAGAUUCUUACGAGGUCCACUCGAUUUUGGACCGACAAUUAUGAGAACUUUAAAUUAAACAUGCUUGUCAUUGCCCUAUCUUUUAAUUAUAAAUCAUCUCCAAUAAAUAAUAUUUAUAUAGUAUUAUUUAUUAAGAGUAGAAUAAUACUUUCAAUUUAACAUAUAUAUACUUUAUUUAUAUUUAGAUUAAGUUUAAGUACUCAUAAUAAACAGAUUAUUGAGAAUUCUAAUCUUUUUUUUGUGUUUAUUUUUAGUUAUUUUAACAUGAUAUCAGAGCUAGUUUUAUAGAACGAGGCUUAUAAUCUUAAAUACAACUUCACAGAUCCAACUAUGUGGUGAGUUGGAUGAGGGUUUGCAGGGGGCAGCGCGCCCUUGCCAGGGUUCUGAGCAAAGCCUAAGCACUUAUAAAUAUAAGUUAAACUGAAAGUAUUAUUUUACUCUUAAUAAAUAAGACUACAUAAAUAUUAUAUAAUAUCUCCCCUCAAACUCACGAUGCAAUUAAGCCUAAGCAUUCAUAAUAAAUAGAUUAUUAAGAAUUCUAACAUUUUUUUUUAUGUUUUUUCUAAGUUAUUUUAACAAUCUCCUCGUCUUCCCGUCGCUUGUUCUUCUUAAUUGUAAUCUUCCAGUAGAAUAGAAUGAGUGUGUAAUCAAACUUUUUGUUAAAGUCUCCUACUUUCCUUCUCCUUCCCAGUAUGAGUCUGGUUUGCUCCAGGUUAGUGAUUCUAAAGAGAGCUACCAAGCAAGAAAGUAUGAGUCUGGUUUGCUCCAGGUUAGCUCUCUUUGUCUACCCUGUAAAUUCAAUUAAAAAGAAUGAACGGAAUUGUUUUUACAUAACCCUUUUUUUUUUCUUGUUUUAGUUAUAUAACAUUAAACAUAAAAGAUUUAUGAUAAAUAGAGUGCUAGACUUCUAAAUAUUUUAUAAAUAUGCUUGUUCAAAAAAAAAAUAUAUGAACUAUAAACUCAUAAACAAUCAAAUAGUAAAAAUUUCAAACAAAUAAAAUGCUAGAUUGCUUAAUAUUCUAUAAGGGUGAUCUUUAUCAUGUAGGAAGUAUAUUUUAGCCAUCUCCAACAACCAACAUCUAAUCUAAUUAAUUAUAUCAAUCAAUUGAUAAAAAAUAAUAAUAAAAGAAAAGAAAAAAGUUGGUCUUUAAUUAUUUUAAUUUGUAUUUUAUUUUUGUUUUAAUUAUGUUAUGGUGUUAUUUUGAUUAAUUAUCAAUAUAUAAUUAGUUAAAAAAAUUUACAUAUAAUUUUACGAUCUAAUUUUACAAUCCAAGUUUGUAUUGUAUUUUUCAUGUCAUGUUAAAAAAUUAUUUUUUUUACAACUUUGCCAUUAUCACUUCACUCGUGCUUUAUAUUACUUUUUAUGCCUUGUAUAAUCUAAUUGACUGUAUAUCGAUGAUGGGUCUAUAAAUACCAACAGAAUCAUGAGGUGCAUUCAAACCAUCUUCUUUUCCUCCCUGGAUUUCUUUUAUAUCCAAUUCCAAAUGAUUCUUGAGGCUCUCAUUUUGGUAUUCCUUUAUGGUUUCUGGAAAAUCUUGGCCAGAAAUAGUGAAAGCAAAAAAUCAACCAGAGCCCCUGAACCAUCCGGGGCAUGGCCAAUACUUGGUCACCUCCCUAGUCUGGUUGGCAAAGACCCAGCAUGUAAAACCCUUGGAGCCAUUGCCGAUAAAUAUGGCCCUAUUUACUCACUCAAGUUCGGCAUUCAUCGAACCCUAGUGGUCAGUAGUUGGGAAACAGUGAAGGAUUGCUUAAACACCA
This 73326-nucleotide long non-coding RNA is filed under the name Populus tremula. Its description in RNAcentral is "long non-coding RNA (PTRE_LNC002178)". Lineage: Eukaryota; Viridiplantae; Streptophyta; Magnoliopsida; Malpighiales; Salicaceae. The record is from RNAcentral.